This 86232-nucleotide long non-coding RNA is filed under the name Gossypium barbadense (sea-island cotton). RNAcentral describes it as "long non-coding RNA (GBAR_LNC016736)". Lineage: Eukaryota; Viridiplantae; Streptophyta; Magnoliopsida; Malvales; Malvaceae. The record is from RNAcentral.
CACUAUAUACCCUAAAAUCUAUCAGUUUAUUAAACUACCAUUCUUUGUGACGAUAAAAUACAUUUAUUGACAAUACUUCCUCACUAAAAACCCUAAAAUGAAACUAGAUUUCUUUUCUUAUUCUUCAAUUUGAGACUAAACAUUUUAUAUAUAAACAUUAAACUUUAAUUUUUUUUAGAUCAUGAUAAAAACCAUCGUCUGAUUGUCACAAAGACAUUGAAUUAUUUAGUUAAGAGUUCGGUUUCUUAUGGUUAUCUAAAUAUAUUAUUAUACCUUGUGUUCCGCAACAUCAUCCAUAAACCUACAAAUAAUUGUGGAAGCUUGAAUGAUCUUAGGGUCAUUGGCUGCCCAUUUAAAGGUCUCUGGUGUUACGAUAUCUCCCAUGCCGACGAAAGAUGUAAUAGCAAGCAUGGCAUAACCACAAGUUGGCAAUGCAUUAGCCUUAAACUCCUCGAAUGAUGGUUUGUAGUUUUGAAGAGUCCAUCUGGCCUCCACAAGGUAAGAUUGAGCAAGUCGUAUCAUCUGAGGCAACAAAAUCUCAAACAAUUAUUACGAAUAUCAAUUCAAAUUCAAAAAUAAUAUUUAAAUGAUUAUAUAUUAUUAUUCAAGUUAGUUGUUUAUUCAAAUCUAUAAUUUAACUAAUAUCUUAUCUCUUGUGUACAAAAUAAAUGUUUGGUGAUGUACAUACCGCAUUUUUUGCAUAUUCGACACGAUAUUGUCUUCCAUGCUCAGGCACCAGUUGUUCCAUUUCUUCGUAAACAUCUAAUAGUGCCUUGUAGCUCGGCUUCAUGUAUUCAGGAAGUUCAUCUAUGCAUUUGAUAUCCCACCUGAAUCCAACUUCAACGUUAUAUUUAAUCAUUUCUCGUAAUAUAUUAUUGAAUGUUAACUUCAACUAAAGAAACCUAACCUAUUACCAACAAAAUUAAAGAAAUCUAACCUCUCAAUUGCAUUUGUAUAUGGAAUGAGCUCUUCAUAUGUUGCAUAUGAGUCAUAUGUAUCAUCUACAAUAGAUGCCAUUGCUAUCACUUUUGUCAACAUCUUUCUACCAAGUGAAUAUUGCGGCUCAAAGUACACUCCUGAGAUCCAAAAAUAGCCUUCAACCACUCUAUCUCUUGCAUAUGGCAACUUUCUUUGAAAGUCUAAAUCUUUCCACCACCUAAAAAAUGAUAUCAUAAAAAACCCCAUUAGCACAAUGAAUAUUCAAUGUUUCAAUUAGUUUCACAUUCAUGUUGUUAGAUUUAAGUCAAUUGGCAACCUCAAAUAUUAAAGUAUAUAUAAGUAAAAUGAUAUAGGUGAAAAAGAUGAAUCCAAGGUUGAUGCCAGCACUUUUAACUUGUACUAUUUAAUAAGAUUCAAAUAUUAGCAUUUGCAACUUGUCUCCUAUACUGAGAAUGAUGUCUCCAAUAAAUUCAGCCCUCCUUCCACUAAUAAAUAAAUAAAUAAAAAAGAUGAAAAAGAAAAAAAUGGGUGAAAGAGAUUAAAAAACAUACCUGCAAAUCUCGCUUAGCUCUUUCCUAUGCAAAAAUUGUAACAUGUUGAAGUCGAUCUUAGCAAACUCCAACAAAGCCUUAUUAUGGGACUCAAUAUCUUGGUAUACUGAAAGAUAGUGCCUUGCCUCAACCCUUGACAAGCCUCUUCGAAUUGAUUGUUUCAAAGCAUGAGAAACCUCUUCGGAUAAAGGAUGGUCCAAAGAUGCUACUGCAAGGCUUAAAUGGUUGGUGGUGAAAGAAAUUGCUUCAUCCAAUAUAUCUUCCCCAUGAACCCUCAAAUAGGAAGCUUGGUAAAGUUCCAACAAUCCUCGAACAUCGCUUGUCACGGAUGACUUGAAAUUCCCUUGCUCGUCUUUAAACUUGUUGAAUACGUCUGAGAUGAAAUUACCCAAAAUGAAAUAUCGUUAUCAAACAUUCCAUGCUAUUAUAUUCUCAAGAAACUUAAAAACACUAUGUUUCUGUUCCAAUAAUUACCGCAUGAAACAUUGUAUCCAUGCUCUCGGAGUAGUCGGAAUCGAAGAGAUGUAGUGUAGAGGUCGUUCUCGGCAUCAUUGUUGUUAUGGUAGAUAUUCUCUAGUUCAUCUUCGAUCUCCUUGGUGAAAUGGUAACUCACACCCAGUCUUUGGAGUGAAUCAAUGAAGGCUAACUUUUGGGUCGAAUUAGCCAUCGGUGCCACAAUCAUCUUCCUCACUUCUUCUUUCAAUUGUUGGUGGCGUUUUUCAGUUCCAGCAUCAAUAUUCUGCUCAAAACAAUGAAAAUUUUCUUCAUAUUGAAUCACUAAAUAAUUAAACAAAUAAUAUGUUAAGAUUAUAUCAAUAUGGUGAUAUGUAUGUAUACCUUGUCGGGACAAUUGAGGAAGAAAUCUCCCCAAAUGCUAGGCUGAAAAUCGGCUUUGGGACGGAUUUCAUCCUUAUUGGAAGAAAGGGGUGAUGAAGAAGGCAUUUGAGAAACUUGUGAAGCCAUUUCGAUUGAUCAAAAGCAGAUAUUGAAAAGCUGAAUUUGCAGCCUUUUUUUGGUUUGCUCUUGAAAUUUGGCACAGAAUUUGUGUGAGGAUAAGAGUGCAAUUGUUGCAUGUAUUUAUAGGUAAGAAAAAUAGUGGUGAUAUUUGAAGUCAAAAAAGGAGAACUUAAAUUCAAGAAAACAAAGUGCAUGAGAAAUACAAAUAGAUUAAAAGAAAUGUUGAUUUGUCUUUUGUUUGAUUCUUUUGAUUCAAAGUUGAUGUCUGUAAAAAAUGUUUAAAUAUCCUCUAUUGAUUUUAAACUUUUGCAGUUCGAUCAAAAUGUUUGAGGGCAUGAAUGAUAUUUAUUCUUUUCUCUGCUUUUGACAUACUCUUCACAGAAUUUAUGACCUCAAUCCACCCGUAAUUUUAUAUUAAUUUCUUAGGAAAUAUCAGUGGAAAGUAAGAAGAAUACGACUCUGUAGUAUUUAAAAUACUGACUUAUUUUGAUGUAAAAUUUACUUUAAAAAAAAGUUUUUCAUGUUACUUUUAAUCCUUAGUAAUCAAAUGUAUUUGUUUACUCAUUAGCAUUUUAAAAUAAAUAAAUUUGUCACUUAUUUGACCCACUCUCUUUACGAUUUUAGAAUUUUUUUUAAAUGGAUGAAUUUAAAAACUUAGAAAAAAAAAUUUUAUUGUAAGGUAAAUGAAAUUUACAAAAGAAAGGUUAUAUUCUUAGAAUUCUAAGUAUCAAACUUUUUUCAUAUAUAAAUAUAAUAAAUAAACUAUUUUUAAAAUUAAUAAAAAUAAUAUAUUCUUUUGUUAAGUCAAUAAAAAAUUAUUAAUAAUAUAUUAAAUGCAAGAAACCUUUCUGAAAUAAUAAAUAAUGUUUAAGUAUCUUAAGUCUUAACCAAAUGUAUAAAAGAAUUUAAAAUUGAAUGAAGUUAAAUCGGUGCAUGCAUUUCCUUCAGACCAGAAGACUGAUUUUUUCAUUGAUUUUUAUAAUAAAGCAUGUCAAGUUUGAACAAGGACUAAGCAACGUAACUUGUUUACUACUGUGCUUUACGAGUGACUACUUAUGGCAUAAUAUUCUCAAAGUAUACAUAUUUAAAAUUCAUCUUCAAUUUUUAAAAUAUCUUAAUUUAGUCUUUAAAGUAUUGGUAUCAUAUCAAUCAAGUCCUUUCAUUAGUUAAACAAUUAUAUUAGGUGUUAGAUGCCAACUCAAAUUUGAGAUGAAGUGUAUUUAAAAUACGUAGAUCAAAUUAUAAAAAUAUAUAUCUACCGCAUAUUUAAAUUUUUUGACACUAUUUUUUCAAUAUGUCAAAUCCAAAAUUUUCAUAUGGUAGAUAUACAUGAGUUUACAGUUUAAUCCACAUCCUAAUUGACAUUUAACACUUAGAUUAUCUACUACGCUAAUGGAAAACCUAUUUGAUACAACGUUGAUAUUUUAAAGACUCAAUUGACAUAUUUUGCAACCCUUAGCCCGGCCAAAACGUUAGAUUCGAAUUUGAAAUAUUACAUCAGCCACUGCAAUGAUCUUGUAGUGUUCGUGGUUUUUAAAAUAGUUAAUUUCAUUUGUUAAUGUUAAUAGAAAACCUAUCCAAUUUUCAAAAACCACUUGAGUCAACGGAAACCAAUUAAUUUUAACUCCUUUUUCUUGUAAUGGUGGCUAUUUUUGAAACAUUAGCUAAUUUAUUUAUUCUUCUAAAAUUUAUUUAUAAAUUUAGCAGCUGAAAAGUGAUUUUUACAUAGUUUUAAUAAAAUCUAUAUUUCAUGCAUAUUUAAUUAUAAUCCAUAUUUCAUCGCUUUAAAAAGAAACAAUUUAAAAGGCAUGCUAUUAAAAUCUAAAUCUAAAUCUCAUGCACAGUUCAAAAUAAAAUAAUAUAAUUUUUGAAUAAUAUUAAAUUGUCAAAUAAUAACUUGAAAAUAUUUUAGUAAAUAAGAUUGAGUCGAGACCCUUCAGAUGUCGUGUUCGCGUCCUAACUUGAUGGGUUAUCUGAAAGAUAAAAAUCAAAAGAGAAUAAGCUAUGAAACGCAGUGUGAGUCCCAUCACAAGCAAAAUCAAUACAAAUGCUUAAAUAUACAGAAGCACAACACAUAGAAAAUUCACAAUAAUAAUUUCAUAAUAUCGAUAUUUUUCCUUAACCUAAUAGUAAUUAACCAAACUUCCCUUAAUACCUAUAACUAGAUCUAUUAAUUAAUCGGUCAGGUCAUUAGGAUAAAUUAGUUCGAGUUUUAGAAAUUUCAAGUGAUCUUUAGGUUAUUUUUAUAUUCAAAUCAUUCCAGAUUAAUAUCAUUUCAAAUUCAAAACAUUUUAAUUUUGAAUCAAUUUAAAUUUAAAUUAUUAAUUUUUUAUUAUCAAAUCGAAUUAGAUCAAAUUUAUAUUUAAAUUCUUCAAAUUAAAUUUUAAACUCAGAUCAAAAUUGAUAACCCUAUUAUGUUAAAAGUAUAUUAAAAAAAUUAGCUACUCAAUUUUUUUUUAAAAAAAAUUAUCCUACUAUAUAUUAUAUUAAUUACAAUUGAAAAUUUCGAGGAAAAGAAAAAGGCAAAUUAUCGUAUUUUCAGCCAUCCAUAAAAAGACAGUGAACUUAUUGACUUGAAAAUUGGUAUAUACGAACAUAUGAUAUAUUUGAUACACUUGGAGAGUGUUGAAAAGUCAUUUGAGUCAUAAAAAAAUGCAAAUUAGUCAAAUUCAGUGACAAAAUUCUCACUACAUAGCUACGAAAUUCUUCGAAAAAAAUAUAAAAGAAAACGAAAAUUAUCUAAUAAAAGUUAGGUUAAAAUAUGCUAAGUAGAUGUGAUUUUUAAAAAUUUAGAAUUUAAUUUCUAUAUUUUUAUUUUUUAAGAUUUUAGAAUUUAAUUUCAACGUCAUUUUUUAAUUACAUAGAUAUUAAGUGAAUAUUUUUUUAUUUUAAAAUAUCACACCAACAAAUUUAAUCAAAAAAAUAACGAUAUUUAAAUUGGACCUAAAUUUUAAAAUAUAAAAAAAUAAAGAACAUAAAUUCCUAAAAAUAAAAUUAGAAAAAUUUAGUUGUAAAUUUUAGAAAAGAACGAAAACUCAUAUAAUACUUCAACCUAAAAAAUAACCAUUCAAACAUGAACGCUUGACACUUUGAAUAAUGAUAUUUUUCACAAUUUAUUUAACAUAUUUUUCAAUUUGAAAUAUAUAUUCUUUUUACAUUGCAAUUAAGACACAAGACUCAAAGGAAAAAUAAGCAAAUUUAAUCAAAGGCGUCUAUUUAUAAUUGAAAGCUAUCUUUUUUCUUAUCUUAAUAUUUUAUUGAAAUACAGAUUGAGUAUUAGUUCAAUUGGUAUGGAUAUUGUCAUCAAUGCAGGAGGACGUGAGAUCAAAUGCGCUGAAACGUAUUAUCCUCCUGUUCAUGAAUUAGAAAGGGAAAUAGAUAAUUCUAAGCAUUGUAUUAAAAAAUAUUUUAUUUAAAUGGCAUUCAUAUCUAAAGUAAAGUUUAAAAUUUUUUAUAUUAAAAAAAUGAAAAAAAUAAUUUAUUAAAAAUAUUUUUUAUUGAUUAGUAAUAAACUUACCUAAUACUGGAUAAUUAAGUAUUAAUUUGGCACACUGUAUAAAAGUAAAUGUUCAAUUUUUUAUCCUUAAAAUUGACAUGUUGAAAACAAGGAAAUGGCAACUAUAAAAAACCAUCUUUAACUGUCUCAGCAAUCAAAUAAGUAUAUAAAAACAAAGUUAGUCAACAAUUCAUGGUGCAAGAGAAUAUUAUAUUGGGUAUAUAUAAUUUGAAAGUUUAAAAAUUGGUUUUUUUUUUCAGAAAUAAUUUAAAUAAAUUCAUUAUUUAUAAAAAUAAUUUAUUUGUAAAAUUAUCCGUUUUGAACAGUGAUUUUGGUGCCGUUGUUGCCAUUGGCGGCAUCACCCUUCAUAAUGGGCCAAUUAUUGGUUGGUUUUAGAAAAAAAAAAUUGGGUGUCAUCAUUGCUAUUGGCGGCACCGGACUGAAGUGUGAUUAUAUAAAAUAUUAAAGGACCUAAUAAAGCAAUUACCCUUUCUGGAUGAAAAAAUGGGUGCUGCCAUUAUUGUUGGCGGCUCCCAAUUAAAUACUUUUAGAUUUUUGGUCUAUUUGCAUGUUAAGUCUAUCCCCUUUUAAAAUUAAAUUUAAAUAACUCUUAAAAAUAUAAGAAUAAUAAAAGUAAACUCUUUUCAUUUUUUUUUAAUUUUUUAAAAAUGAUAAACUUAAAAAAUUAUAUAAAAUUAUUAUUUAAAUAACCCAAAUAUGUCCCUCAAGAAUUUUCCUCAAAUAAAAAAUUAUUAUUUAAAACUUGAGGAAAAAUUUUAGGGAUAUAUUUUGGUAAUUUAAAUAAGAAUUUUAUAUAGUUUUUUAAGUUUAUUUUUAAAAUAAAUAAAUAAAUAAAUAAAAUGAAAAGAGUUUAUUUUUGUUAUUCUUAUAUUUUUAAGGGCUAUUUAAAUCUAUUUUCAAAAGGGAAUAGACCUAACAUGCAAAAACAUUUAAUUGGAGCCGCUAGCAAUCAUGGUGGCACCCCUUUUUUCAUCUAAUCUAAAAGGGUAAUUGCUUCAUCGGGUCCCUGAACGUUUUAUAUAAUCACACUUUAAUCUGGUGCCACCAAUGGCAACGACGACACCUAAUUUUAUUUUAUUUUUUAAAACUAGCCAAUAAUUGGCCCAUUAUGAAGGGUGAUGCUGCCAAUGACAACAGCAGCACCAAAAUUAACAAUUCAAAACGAGUCAGUUUCGUACAUAAUUUUGCAAGUGGGUCAUUUUUGUAAAUAAUUAAUUUAUUUGGGUUAUUUUUGAAAAAAACCUUUAAAAAUUAAAAUUUUGAAAUAGAAAUAAGAGAAUUAAAUUUCAAAUGCACAAAGUAUAGAGAUUUAGAGUCAAAGUUGUUGAACUAGACUAGGCAAGCUAGCUUAGGGUAUCAAUCUAAAGAGAGGCAUCAGACCAAUAGACCUGUGAAUUGGUACAUACCGGUUGAACCAGACUAAAAAACCAAUUAAACAAGUUUUUUUUAUUUUUAAAUAAAUUUAUUUUUUAUGAUUUAUUUAAUCGAAUUGUAUGAACCGAUGCCUUACCAAUUCAACCAACGGUUCGAUUCUAAAAGUCUUACUUAGAAUAUAUUUUAAUCGUCAAAUAUAUACUCCAUAACUUGACACAAACAAAUAAUCAACCCAAUGAAAAGGGUGAAUAGACCAUACUAGUGAUUAUAUGAAAAGUUAAACAAUACAUGCAUUCUUAUAUUUUAUGCUAAUGAUUGUACCAUACACUAUCUUAGUAAAAAAAAAAACUAGUACGGUUCACACACGGUGUUAAGUUGAUUUUUUAUUUGUUUCAAAUUAUAGAGUACAAAUUUGAAGAUUAAAAUAUACUCUAAGUUUUUAUACACUUCGUACAUUUGAAAGUUAAUUCAUCUACUUUUACUUUUAAGAAUUUAACCCUUCUACAUUUUGGAUUUAAAAAUCCGCUUUCAGCUUAUAUAUAAUUACUUAAUAUUUUAAUCGAAAAGUUAAUGAUAGUAACUAUUUAGAUUGAUCAAUAACAUUAUAAAAAUAAAGAGAGUAAAUUAUGUUAGAAAUUAAAGUAUUUAAACACUAUGUCAUACUUCAAUAUUUAAGUUAAUAAAUACUCAAGAACUGCAAUGAAACUUGGGUUCAAUGAUAAUGUUAAAGCUUUGAUAAUUUUGAAAUAUUAAGUUUAAGUCUUAUUAUAUAUAAAUACGUGAGUUCUCUUUUAGGUUUAAUUUUAUUAUAUUUAACUGUUGAGUUAUUCAAUUUAUAGUGAGGUUAAUUAUUUACUUUAGUGCUUAUAAUAAGUAAUUAUUAGAAUUGUUAAUAUAGGAGCGGCAACAAGGGGUGUUGGCAGGGGCCGAGUCCUUAAAAUUGGAAAUUUAAAAUUUGAUCUUUUAAAUUUAUGAAGUUUAAAAUUAGUAAAUAGGUAACUUACACUUUGACCCCUGAAAAUUUAUGAAGUUCAAUCAUUCUUCUAGCAAUUUAGUAAUUUUCAUAAAUAACAUCCCCAUUCUUGCCAAGAAGCGGUAAGUACACCUCGUUCCUAUUAUUCAAUUUAGUAACUCCGCCGUACGAAUCUCCAAACUUUAAUCUUUAAUUCGAUUCAUCGAUCUAUUUGAAAUCUUGAUAAAUCUUUUGAAAAUAUUGCCAAACUUGACAUCAAUUGUUAAUUGUAUAUAUAUGUCAUUUGAAGGACCGGAUUUAGGUGUGCCAACUAGAAUUAAGAGUGAGGAACAUCGACCGGACCCUUGGUGAAAGGUGUGUGUUCUUUUCUAAGUGAAUCCGUGUCAAACCGUGUAUUGUACAGGACCACACGGCCUCUCACAUAGGUGUGUGGACAACAUGACUAUGUGCCUCUGUAAUCGUAGGGUAGUUCGUUGCCCUUCCACACAGCUUGCCACACGAUCGUGUCUUUCCUGUAGGGUAAAUUAAUGUUUUCACAUGGCCACAACCUAUUACACGGCCUAACUACACGACCGGUGUAACCCCUCCACAUGGUCUUAACCCUCUCAAACAGCCUAGCCAUACGGUCUUGUGACCCCUGUUUUACAAAUUUUACAAUUUUCCCAAAAAUUCGUGAAUUGUACAAUUUAGUCACUGUAUAAUGCCCGAACUGUUUUUAGAGUUUAUUUCUCGUAAUUAAAUCCCUGAUGAUAUGCAUAUUUUGGAAUCUAUGAUCUGAGUGACUGAAUUACUACUAUUAUAUGUAUAAUAUGUGAACAAUAAAUGUUUUUUGCCUCUGUAUUACUAAUUACAUGUUCAACAUGCCAUUUGAUACCGUUAAAUCUAAUUCAUGAUAAGCAUGACUUUUGCUACAGCAUUGAUUUGUUAUAAGCAUAUCUAUUGCUACCGUAUUGAUCUGUUAUAAGCAUGUCCAUUGCUAUUGUAUUGAUAUGUUAUAAGCAUGUCAUAUUGCAUUGCAUAGGAUGAGACGAUAUGUACGGAGGAAGAGUAACAGUUUAUCUGAAAAUUUGUUGUGCACCCACAACCCAAUGGCAGUUUAUCUGCAAAUUUGUUAUUUAUCCACAGCUUGCUGGGAGUUUUUAUCUGUGAAUUCGCUAUGCAUCCAUAGCCUAGUGGUAGUUUUUAUCUACGAAUUUGUUGCGCAUCCACAACCUAGUGGCAGCUUGUUUACAAACCUGAGGUGGUUAAACCAAAACUCAAUGUAUAAGAAUGUUUAAGUUCAGGGGAACUCCUAGUGAGGUGUGUAGCGGAGUUGGGUAGGAUCUUUCCUUUGAUAUAUUGAAAUUGCAUUGCCAUGCAUUGCCAUGUGCAUACAAAACUGUGAAUGUAGAGAUGUUAUUGUGAUUUGUUGAUCUAUGAAACCGUUAUUACGACUUGCUAUACGAUUGUGAUUGUUUUAAAAAAAUUGUUAUUUCACAUGCUUUGUCUGCCGUUUACACUAAUUUUCUUGUGAUUGGACUCGCACUAAGCUUCAAAAGCUCGCUCCCCCAUUUAUUUCCAUCUCUACAGAUAAUCCACCAAGUUAGGACGUGGUCUCGGCAUUCAGAAGACUCAGUACAAAUUAUUUGUUUAUAUAUAAAAGUAUUUUAAAUUCAUUAAUUGCAAUUUCUACUAUUCAAAGAUUGUACUAUUUUAUUUGAACCGUGGCAUGGGACUUAGGUUUUGUGUUUGUUAGGUAUGCAUGACAUUCUAUUUUACCUUACGUUAUUGAAAUAUGGUUUAUUAAUAUCCAUGCAUAUAAAUAUGGUUUCUAUUAAACUCAUGUUAAAGAUCACUUUUCCCGCUGCAUUGGUAUGAAUGAAAAUGAGGUUUCAAAAAUAUACAAAAAUUAAAAAUCGACUUUUACUAAGUAAACUUUAAAUUCUAUCAUUUUAGGGAAAAUUUUGUCUUUUAAUAAAUCGAAGAUAACACGCGAAGUCUUUCCUUAAUAAUAAACAAAUGUUUUAAACAACUAUUUUAUAAACUGUGACCGUACUAGGUUAUUUCGGUGGCUUAUGUAAUCUUCCAAAUUCAGUUUUAGCAUCUACGUCGAGUUUGGAAGGUUACAUUUGGUGGUAUCAAAGCCAGGUUUACAAAACUCGAACUGUGAAAAUUUAAAUAGGUCUGUAUGCAUACAUCUAAAUGGGUAUUUUUGGGAAAAACCAUGCCACAAGCUUUUGAAAAAAUGAUUUUCUGUAAGAAAUUAAGUCUCAGACUCCGAUGUCGGUCCUACUUUAGUUACAGUUACUCUUGAAACUUUAGAUAAACUGCGAUCCAUAGACUGUAAAUACUUAGGAAAUAGCUAAUGCUUGGAUUAGAAACUAUAGAUAUACUUUAGAUUUUAAAAUUUUCAUGAAAGCAUUAUGAACACUCAAAGUAGAUGUGGUAGGGGUAGGCCGCAUAGGGCUGCACCCGUUGAACUGUCCAUUGUUUAGGGAGAAAACCCAAUCGUUGAGGAGUUCGUAGAGAAUUCUACCACCAAUUAUGGCGAAGGCUAUGAAAAUGAAGACGAUGCAGUUUUGCAAGUGAUGUUAAGGGUUCUGCAAAAGGUUGUUGAAGCCCACACGAGAUCGAUGAGCCAUGGAUCUGUUACAGAGAGGCUCCGAUCUAAUUGAGCAAAAAUAUUCAAGAGUGUUGCUGGAACGACCCCUACCGUGGCUGAGUACUGGAUGGAGUUGACGGAGAGGAUUCUAGAGGAUCUUGAUUGUACUCUAGAAUAAAAUUUGAAGGGCAUUGUGCCAUUAUUAAGAGAUGAAGCGUAUCGUUGGUGGCAGUAGUUGUGAGGGGUACACAGGUUGAACGUUUGACCUGAGAACAUUUCUAGGAAGGUUUUCAAAAGAAGUAUGUGGACACUAGAUAUGUGGAGUCUCGAAGACUCAAGUUCAUCAAGUUGAAGCAAGGGGAUAAGGUUGUGGUAGAAUAUGAGGUUGAAUUUCUAAGACUUAGCCGUUAUGGUCAAGGUAUGGUCACCACAGAGCAAAACAAAUGUGUGAGGUUUGAAAAUGGGUUACGUUUUGACCUCAAAAUUCAGGUUGCUCCACACUAGGAAUAGGUGUUUGGUACCCUUGGGGAGAAAACCAAAAUUGUGGAGGAGAUCAAAUAGGUGAAAUGCGAAAAACAGAAGAAGAGUAAGGUCCCGCUUAAGAGAGAUCUUGGUUCCACUAGUUCAAAUUCUCCGCAAUAAAGGGUUGUUGUAGUUAAUUUUGAUUAUAUGAUUUACAAAUGUACAUAUUGUGGUAAGUGCUACCCAGACGAGUGUCGGAAGAAAUUAGGUGCUUGUCUGAAGUAUGGAUCAACGAAGCAUAUGGUAAAAGAUUGCCCUCGAUAAAAUAGGCAAGCACAAGCUUUGACCCAAAAUCAGAGAGUGGGUCAAUUACUUCUGAGGGGCCGAUGUCAAAAUAGGGCUAGACAACCUACCCUUAUUUAUGUCAUUUGAGGUCUUAAGGAUAGAGAUACGUCCGAUGUUAUCACAGGUUAAUUUUCCAUUCAUUAUGUCUCAUCUUUUGCCUUGAUCGACAUAUGAUCCACCCAUUCAUAUGUUACUUGUAAUAUGUCUGACAAACUGGGUAUUGGGGUAGAGGAAACCACUACUGAAGUUACUAUAGUAAGCCAUUUAGGAUAAUUGGUUGUUGUAGAUAAAAUCUAUAGGAGAUGCCUAUUGGAGGUUCAAGGGGUAGUGUUUCUAGCAGAUCUUAUGAAAUUACCUUUUGGAGAGUUUGAUUUAAUUCUAGGUAUGGAUUGGUUAGUAGAACAUCAAGUUAGCUAGAUUGUGCCUCCAAAAGAGUAAGCUUGAAAAUGGCUGAGGGUAAUGAGAUCAUUAUGGUUGGGGAGCGUCGAAACUAUUUAGCUAAUUUGAUUUUUGCUAUUGUAUCUAAAAAAAUAGUUCGGAAAGGGUGUGAGACUUAUUUAGCCUAUGUAAUGGUUGGGAAUGCAAAUAGCUCUACUAUUGAAAGUAUUCAAACUGUUAGAGAAUUCCCAGAUGUAUUUCCUGAGGAGCUACAAGGGUUACCUCCAAAAUAUUUGGUAGAAUUCAGAAUUGAGUUGUUUUUAGGAAUUGCCAGUGUCCAUUUCUCCCUACCGUAUGGCACCUAAAGAGCUUCAAGAAUUGAAAAUCCAACUUCAGGAGAUUUUGGAUCGUGAGUUUAUUAGACUUGGUGUUUCUCCGUGGGGAGCUCUAAUUUUAUUUGUCAAAAAAAAAGAUGGCUUCCUAAGGUUGUGCAUUGAUAAUCGAUUGUUGAAUAAACUGAUUGUUAAGAAUAAAUAUCCUCUGCCUAGGAUCGACGAUUUGUUUGAUCAAUUCCGUGGUGCAGCGGUGUUUUCCAAAAUGGAUUUAAGGUUUGGGUACUACCAUUUAAAGGUGAAGGAGGCAGAUAUGCCUAAAAUCACAUAUAAGACUCGAUACGGUCACUAUGAAUUCCUUAUAAUACCUUUUGGAUUAACCAAUACUACGACCGCCUUCAUGGACUUAAUGAACCAAGUGUUCCAACCCUUUCUUGAUUAGUUCAUCGUUGUGUUCAUCGACGACAUCUUAGUUGAUUCAAAAACCAAAAAUGAACAUCGUAGGAAAGUUUUUCAAAUCCUUCGCGAAAAGAAACUAUAUGCCAAACUGAGUAAAUGCGAAUUUUGGCUGAAGGAAGUUAUUUUUCUAGUACAUUUGGAAUUCGUAGAGGGUACCCGUGUAGAUCCAAGAAAGAUUAAGACUAUUCUAGAAUAGAAACAACGCAAAAUGUUUCUGAAAUCUGAAGUUUCAUCGGUUUAGCUGAAUACUAUUGUAGAUUUGUUGAAAGGUUCUCUCUGAUCGCUACUCCACUAGCCAAGUUGUUGAGAAAGAAUGUUUCAUUUAAAUGGACCGAUAACCGGCAAGCUAGUUUUGAAAGGCUAAAAUUGGUGUUGACUCAAGCUCUCGUCUUAAUCCAGCCCUAGUUGGGAAACGAGUAUGUGGUAUAUAGAGAUGCGUCCUACACUGGUCUUGGAUGUGUGUUGAUGCAAGGUGGAAAAGUAGUUGCCUAUGUGUCGAGACAAUUAAAAAAAUAUGAAUGCAACUAUCCGACUCAUGACUAGAUCCACCAAGAUAACUUAAAAAUAAUAAACUACUCAAAUUUAUUUUUAUUGUUUAAAAUUUAUUAUAUUAUAUAUUAUAUGGACAUACUUCUUAUUACAAUUUAACAUUUUAUUGGAAAAAAAACAUAUUCAUCGUAUUUUCAACGAUCAAUAAAAAAAAUAAAACUACUUGACUUGAAAAUUGAUAUAUGAGACCCAAUGAUUAGACCUGGUCAUGGGUCAGGCUAUCGACCUAGAUCCAAAGGCUUUCGUUCGAAAUUUGGGAAGUUUUGGAUAAAAAAAUAUCAGGCUCAAAAAAUAGGCAUGAGCAAAAAAAUUAGGCUUGACCCAUUUUUAAGUUUAUGAUACUUUAUAUUAUGUUAUUUUUAUAAAUUAUGUAAUUUAGAACACAUUAAAAAAAUAAACCUAUACUAAAUAUAUAAUACUAUUCUAAUGUAAACAUUAAAAUAAUGUUAAGAUGACUAUAUAAAAAAUUUCAAUAAAUAAAAAAUGUAUAAAAUGUAUAAAAUUAUUAAAUAUUAAAAUACUAUAAUAUAAAUAUUUUUUAAAAAAAAUAAUAUGUGUGGGUUUAAAAUGAGCUUGGGUUAGUCUUUUACAAAUAUGGGUGGGUUUGGGCAAAAUUUUAAGCUCAUAUUUCGGGCUGAACAGAGCUUAAACAAACAUAAAAUAUGUUAAUAUCAUGCUUAAAUCAAGCAAAUAAAUAAAUAAAUAAAUAAAUAUCUAAUAAAAUUAGAUUAAAAUAUAUCAUAAAUAUUUAUACUUUUCAAAAAUUUUAAAUUUAAAUCCCAUAAUUUUAUUUCUAAAAACAAUUAUUCAAACAUGACCGCUUGACUCUUUGAAUAAUGAUUUUUUUUUCACAAUUAAUUUAACAUGUUUUUUCUUUUUCAAUUUGAUUUGUAAACUCCAGAGUUGUAAUUCAGAAAUUUAUAUUUUAAACCCAUCAUUUAAAAUAUUUUUAUAUUGAAUUAAGACAAAAGGAAAAAUAAUUGAAAGUUGUAAAUCAUAAUUAAAAUAUAUUUUAAUUUCUAAUAUUUUAUUGUGCAUGCAUAAUUUUACUAAUGGCAAUGAUAUCCAAAAAUUAAAUAUUAUCAUUAGGCAUGUGAUUAGUUGAUAGAGCUCAAAUUUUUCAUAUUUUAGAAAAAAAAAACUUUAAUUUAUUACCAUUAGUUUGAUAAUAGAUUUACCUAAUAUUAAAUAAUUAAGUACUAAUUUUUUUAUUAAUACCAAAUCAAUUAAUUUAAUACACUAUAUAAAAUUAAAUAUUCCAUAUAAUUUCUUUCUGAAAAUGGACAUAUUAAAGAAAAGGAAAUUAUGGCGACUAUAAAAAAAUCUUAUUAAAAGUCACCAGCUCAUUUACGUUGUUUCAGUUUUAAUAAUGCCUAAAAGACGAAAUAGUCAUCCACGUGCAUGACUGAAUUUGGACUGGAAUAGAGUGUUGAAAAGAAUGGAAAUUUUAUUAUGUAAUAGAAAAUUAAUUCCUUAAUUAUAAAAGUCAGCAAUUUAGUCCCUUUGCAUUUAAUUUAACCUUUAACGUAGGGGCGAAGCUAGAAAAAAUUUCUGAGAAUCAGGAUUAAGUUGUAUAUUUUUAUGAGAGAUAAAAUAUAAUUUCACCAUUUUAAUAACUUAUAUCUUUACAAUUUUCAAAGGAUUAAAUUAAAAUUCAUCAUUUAUUAAAAUAAUCCAACACUUAAAUACAUAACCCAUUUUCUCCCACACGUUUUACUAUUCCCAAAUUCUUUGUUUCCACCAAGUCCAUAACUAGAUCCACCAAGAUAAAAGGAGUGAACAAUAAUACUAUCCAAAGUAGACUCAGCAACUACCCCAAUAAUGGCAUGAACAUCACGGAACUCAAUCAAUUAGCACUUAAUCGUUUUUAACGAGCUUGGUGUUGUACUUUUAUAACGACAACCAACAUGGAUUAUUGUACACUUAGAAUUAAUUAAAUUAAAAGAUUUUAAAUUAUAAAAGGAUUAAAUAUAAAAUUUUCCAUUUUAAGGGUUGGGAGCUCAAAUUUGAAAUUUAAUUUAUGUAUAUUUUUUUAAAAUUAGGUCAUGUACUUUAAUUAAGAUAAUUUGAUGCUUUACUUUAGGUUUUUUUUCAAGUUCAAACAAGCUCGAAAUAUGGACAUAAAAUUAUAUUUAAACAUGUCCAUAUUUAAAAAUAGUUUUAAAUUUGUUCAUAUUAUUUUUAAUUUAAUAAUUAAUAAUUUUUUAUAUUUUUCCAUUUAUUAAAAUUUUAUAUAUAAGCAUCUUAACAAUAUUUUAUGUUUACAUCAUAGUGUUGUAUAUUACGAUAGAUUUAUUUUUUAUGUGUUAUAAAUUACAUAGAAUAUAAAAAAUAACAUAAUACAAUAUAUUAAAACUUAGAAAAUUGGUUGGGUUAGGCUCGAGUCUUAAAUGUUUGAGCUUGAUCCUAGCCCAUAUUUUAAAUAGGCCAAUUUUUUACCUUGUCUAUUUUUUAGCUUAAUAUUUUUCCUAAAUCCUUCCAAAUUUGGGGUGGGCAUUCGAGUUUAGAUAAGUAACCUAACCCAUAAUCAUGUCUAAAAUUAAUGACAAUUAACUAUUUGCUGUUAAAUAUUAAUGUGAAUUUUUUUCCCUUCAAAACACCUAUUCUAAGCCAUCACAUAAACAUGAGUUUUUUUAAUUGAAAAAAAUCACAUAAACAUUUAAAAAAAUUAAAUAUAAAAUUAAAUCUUAAAAUUGAGUAUAAGAGAGGGACACAAAACAUAAUUUGACCUUUUUUAUAAAAUUAUCAGCCGUUCAACUUGUGUCAAUAUAAGUGCGUCAUGCAUGUAUUACUUAAAAGUCUAAAGCAGAAUAAGUGCAUGGUGGAAAGGGAUGGCCAAUGACGAUUAAAAAAAAUCACAUCCAAAGUUGAUUUUUUGGUUUAAUCAUUAAAUUAUACUUUUAGACAAUUUAUUUAUUUUAUUAAUAAGUUAUUAAGGCCAGGUGAAAGAAGUAAAUGUCUUUAAAGCACAUUUCGCUCAGCUAGUGAUAUCUUUCCUUAUAAGCGAGUUUUCAUUUUUAUCUUGGAUGAAUUUGCUAUCUUUGAGGAGCUCUUGUAGGUCUUGGGAUGCCAGUUUGAGUUGCCAUACUGCUCUUGUUUUAUUAAGGAUGAUGUUGAUGAAUUUACGAUCUUUUAACAGGAACUUACAGAAGGUAAUAUUGUGAGAUUUUAGAAGAAUAAUAACGAAUGUCAUAGAGUGAGGAUCAUUGCUUUAAGCUUGGAAGGUGCGAUGUGGCUUUUGACUGCAGACAAUUUGAUCGCCAUUGUCAUUGUUCUAUGAUGGUUCACUCCGAUUGCUGCAGACGUCAAGAUGAAGCGUCCAUGAAGUGUGUGUACCACCUUCUUCAAUAGAUGGAAGAACUUGCCUAAGACUGUUGAUAUUCAAAGGAGUGAUAUUGAAAGAGUCCAUAAUUGAGAGUUGCCUUCUAAUGGACUAUGAGUGAUACUCUUAAAGGUGAGUUCAUUCCUUGCUUUCCAUAUUGACCACGACGUGCAGAUGCAGGCCGUAUAAAAGUAUCUCGAGGCUAAAGAAUUGAUUUCAUUAUUUUGCAGCUAUGAAGCAUGAACACGGACAGGUAAUAUUGGUACAACACGAUAUGAAUAUGGCGACACAAUAAUUUUAAAAAUUGAGGACACAAAUACAACAAUAAAAAAAAUAUUAAAAAUAUUUAUACAUAUAUUUUAUGUUAAAAAACCUAUUUACUUUUUAACAUUUAUUUUAUUUUUUGGAAAAAAUCUAGAACUUUAAAUCCAACCUAAUAUAUUAAAUCAAUUUACAAAUAGCCCAAGACAGAUCUUGGGCUACCCACAAUAAACCCAAAAGGCAACCCAACCCAAUAUUUUAAAUUGAUUACAAAUAGCCGAGACAGCCUUUCAUCUUUUUCAAGAAAACCCUAAAACUUUCAACCUUACUUUCAAUCUUUCAUUCCUUUCAUGAAAAAAAAAACAGGGAAAAAAAUCUACAUUCUGCUUCUUUCACUCUCAAUUGAGGUUUUUUAAUCCGAUGCCUCUAUCCAUCGUCACUGUGUCGGGAUCAUGUUUGUUUUUAAACACCCGUGUCGUGACUGUGUUUGAUUUUUUUUUUUUUUGACGUAUUCAGACAUGUCCUAGUAUGUCGGGACCGUGUUCAAGGAGGGAUGAGCCGUGUCCGUGCUUCCUAAUUUUGAAACCAUUUGAAAAUCCAAGAAUAGAAUGAGGAAAGAUUAAAAGUAUCAACACGCAAAAGAGAGAGGGGAGAUCCAAACCAUACUCAAUUGAACAAACAGAUGUUUUAAGGAUUCUGCAUAUGCCUGGCAUAGAGGACUGUUGCUAUUUGCACCAACAUUACAAAGGUAGUUGUUGCAUAUUUUUCGUAAAAAAAAGGAUGAUUUUGUGGGUUUUAUUAAGUUUUAAGUUCAAUCCAAUAACAACUUUAUUGGCCCAAACCCAUGAAACCCAACUAAGAUCCCACCCUCCAUUCAAAUCCUUGGAAUUCUUCUUUAAGCCAGUUUUGUUAAGUGAAAAAAGCAUAGCUUAUCUUCAUAAUCCAACCUUCAACAACAAUCUGGAUAUUUAACUUUUCUUUCCCUAACUUUUAUUUCGAAUUGGGCUAAAAAUUAAGUAAUUCAAGGGAAAAUAAAGGAUAUUUAACUCUCUUUAUUUUUCCUUACCUAAAUUAAAAAAGUCCAAAUAACGGAAAAUGUGAUAAUUUCCUUUCCGUUUCCUUGUUUUUAUGCAAUUCAAGCAAAUGGUUCAUACUAUAGGUAGAUAGAUAAAGUUGGUAAAACAGUCCCAAGCCUAUAAUAGAUUUGAGCUCAAAGAAGCUCGUGUUCAAGGAAAUUUGAGCUCGAGAAAGCCCGAUUUUACAAGAGUUUGAGUUCAAGAUCGAUUUGACUCAAGUCCAAAAUAAAUCUGACCCAAAACCCAAAUUUAUAGCUAAACAACAAUAAUAGACAUUAAUAAUUACUAUAAUUUUGUGAUAUUACUAAAAUAAAAAUAAAAAUAAAAAUAAAAAUAAAUCGUUAUUAUUUAUUUUAUAAAAAUAUGUUCAUAAGCUUUACAUAUUUAUAUUAAAAUGUUAUUAAUAACAAAUGCAAUUAUAAUAAUUUUUAUGUUAAAUUAUAAAGUGAAAUAUUUUAAAAAAACCAUUAACUGAAUAUAAAAUACUUUUUAAUACUAUAAAUAUAUAUGUAUAAUAAAUAUAUAAAAUUAUUAAUUAUUAAAAUCUAUAAAAUUUAAAUUUAAUGAUUAUAUAAUAUAUAUAAUGGCAUAAUAUAUUAAUUUAAUUAUAUGAUAAUUAGUGUUCUGCUGAUCACAAAUGAUUAAACAUGAUUUAUUAUACUAUACUAAUAAUAUUACUAAUAAAUUUAAUUCUAAUGAUUUUGGAAUUUAGGUUUUACUUUAAGUAUUUUUAUGAUUUGGGAAUUUAUAUUUUAGUUUUAGUUUUUUAAUUAUUAAUGUUUAAUUUUUUUAAUAUUAAAUUUUUAUUAAUACUAUUAUCUGUAUAAUAAUUUUUAAUUUAAAGUGGAUUUAUUUUAUUUAGGUUGGAUUUUGAAUAAAGUUUAAAUUUGUUUAGGUUUAGGUUUAGGUUUGAGUUUGGUUGAUAUUGGAUUUAAGUUUGGAUUUAAAUAUAUAUUAUAUUUAAUAGUUGUAAAGUUGGCUAAUUUGGUUUAAAAGAUUUUGAAUUUCAAUAACAAAAUUGAACCAGCUGUUAGAAAAUUUUCAGUUUGAAAAUGAUUUUCUUGUACAGUGGAAAAUUAAAAUUUUAAAAAUUGACUCGGUUUGUGAUAUUUAUAGCAAUAAAUCUUAGACCGAAAUUGUACCUAUGUUUUUUGGUAAGUAAAUCCUUAAUUUUUUUUCGGCUUUUAACUAAAUGAUCUUCUCCGCUAUUCUCAUACCACGAACUGCUUCGAGUGCCGGUUUGAACCAAUUGAAUCAAAACACAGAACUAGAAAAAGUUUUAUUUUUCUUUUCGGGUGAAAAUGAAAAUGCUCUCUUCUUUAAUAGAAACUGAUAGAAUUGUUAUUCUAGAAAAAUAUAUUUAAUAGUUGAGAAUAAAUUCUUUCUAUUUCCAAUAGAGUAACAAUCUCUCAAACUUGUCUUAAUAGUUGUACUGGUGUCAUCUAUUCAUAGGAAGAGAAAGUAGAAUCCUUGUUGAGUUGUAGUGGUUUAUUUCAAAUAGAAAAAGAACUUCAUACUUAGAGUGGAAGUAUGGCGGACAGCACACCUUAGUAUUCCUACUAGGGUUCGCACCCCCUUCAUGUUACAUAAGUAGAUUUUGGGUCUCUUUCAUAUCGAGUCCAAUUACGAGUACUUCUUGAGCUUUUUGACCCAGUACUUUUUAAUUUGAUCCAACCCGAUUCUAUUUUUCUAUUUUCUAAAGUAAAAUUCAAUAUAUUAAUAUUAAAUAAUUUUCUCAUCCAAAAUUUACCCCAGAUAAAAUUAUGACAAUUUUAUUUCUAGUAAAAUUUUGAGAAAAUAUGUUUAAUAUUUCACCACUCAACAUGUUCACUAUGACCAAAUGAUUUAUUUUCACUAGCUCAAAAACAUAAACUCAUUCUUCUGAUAAUUUCUGAGUAAUUCAUGGAUAUUUGCAAAUGAAUCAUUUCUCAUUUUCAUUUUCAUUUCCAUUUUGAGAAAACCAUAAUCAUUUCUAAAUGAUUCAAUUUCUCUAUUUUUAUUUAUUCUAUUCAUUUUGAUUCAAACAUAGAAUUCAUUUAUGGUUUCAACGAGCUAGUGGAGGGACCAGUUGAACAUAUGUAAUUAAGGCACAAAUGAUUUAUAAUUAAAUUCUAGCUUUUGCCUAUUAAUUAUAAACUCAUUUAGUCAUAAAGUCAUUCUAAUAUAGUAUCGUGACUGAGCUCUCCUUAACAAUAUACCAUUAUAAAGGCUACUACUUAGUGCUCGUUCAGUGACCUUGUCAUAAGUGUGUUACCCUCAUAGGAUAUCCUUGAUCUCUUUGGGAUAAUAUUUUUUCUCCCAAUAUGAUCUUAUUUUAUCUCAUGGUAACCAUUACAUAUUCCUUCAUAAAAAAGUCAAUUACUAUCAAAUAGUAAUCAAGUCAUUCAUCACAAAGAUGAACAACCUGUGGCCAAGUUUACUUUUCAUCAACCAUGUAAUGCUAAUGAGAGUAUAUCAUUUACCCAUGUAUUGGGAUACGAAUUCCACUGUUCUGAAUAAUGCUACAUACUGCCGAAGUCGUACAGCCAACACACCAGCUUUCAGUUCCUUAUCUAUUCGAACUCAGGCUUUUACUUACAUCAAAGUGUACGAGUCACGCAUACAUAGUCCGUCAUCCACACAGGAUUUAGGUAUGCUACACUAUGAACGUCAAAAGUAAAAAAGCCAUAAAUGAAUUCAGAAUCUAUUCUACUUGGUUCUUGUCCGAUGUACUGUCAGUUCAGUCAGUCAUGUAACACCCCAAACCUAGCCUAGAUGUUAUGACCAAAUCUGGAGAUGUCACCAAUUCAUUUGAAGAUUUCGAAACCAUUUUGAACCAAUAAAGUAAUUAGAGCUAGCUUGCAAUGUGUAAAAUUCCAAUUUAUUUAGUGAAAUACUUUCUCUUAAAUAAUUCAUUAAUUUGCUGAUGAACACUUAUAAAAUCACUUACUCUUCGCAGCUGAAUGUCUUAGUUAAAUAGAGUUUUGGAAAACACAAUUUGGUUUUGAAAUCCAACAUUUUGCAAAUAGAAUUAGUAUAAUCUAAAAAAGUUUAAACGAUUUUAAAAUAAUAUAAAAUUCAAAAUUAAAAACAAUCUCAAAAGUCCAAAACAAUCCAAUAGAACUAAAUAGAUUAGACAGAGAAAAGUUAAGGGAAAUCUAAAGCAAUUAUAAUUAAUUGAGCUCCCGCAACAUCUAUCCGUCUUAUGUCUGUGGCUUACUUGAGAACAAAUAAACAGAAAGUGAGCUUACGAGCUUAGAGCAUAACUCAUUUAAGAAAAUAAAAUAGAGACACAUAUUUCAUUAGAUUAAGAAAUGAAUACAUGCUCAGAUUCAAGAUCCAUUAUAUUUCAUAAACAGAUAUAGAUACAAAUGCUUAAUAGAUACAAAUACAAAUGCAUAACAAAUACAUAACAAACACAGAUUUAGAUCUUACCCCCAUCUGCUACACACCAUCUCUGACCAUCUUUACACACUAAUUAGUGUAUUAAAUACUCAUCUAGCCCCACACACUGCUAAGUGGUCAUAUGUCACUUUUCAGAACAAAUGCAUACUAGAUGCCAGAUCAAAUUGCGGUAACCCACUAGAAAUAGAUGUACAUGGCUAAGCUAACAAAUAAGCUAGAUAAAUCAAAUUGCCAUCACUUCCUCCAAAAUCAUAGUCCCAACCCUAAUGCACAUUCAAAAUUAAACAAAGAUUGAAUGCAUGAAAGACAUACAUGCUAUACACAUCAUAUUCAGAUCAUGCUAGCAUAAUACACAUCAUGCUAUUAGAUAUAACAUACAUUUCAUGCGUUCAUAGGAUACAUUUAACAAAAACAAUGUAUCAAAAAUCAUAAUUUAUAAUCGCUUUUAUACCAUACAGACCCUACAGAAGGGCUAAAUUUGAAUAGCACGAUAUAUACGACCCUAGGGUAAAUUUUCCAAAAAAGGCCCACACGGCCUCACACACUCCUGUGGGGUCCACACGACCCAAUUGACCCAGACCGUGUGGUUCAUAUGGCCGUGUGAUGUCGACAAUCAAAUUAUUUGCUUUGUGUUGUUCGCUAGUUUUUGGGUUUUUCGUUACACAUCUUGCUUGAUUUUGAUGCGAAUUCACUCACGAGACUUCCAAAACCUAAAAACGUCAACUAAACUAUCCAUUAGAACGAUUACCCAAACUUGAUUUACUAAAUCGAUAUUACCAAAAAUAAGGUUUUUAACAAUGAGAUUCGAUCUUAAACCCCUAAAUUGAACUUUUACCCUCAAGAGAACAGUAAACCACCAACAGAUUCUAGGUCACCGAAGGAUUAAUCGCCUCUCCAACUUCACCUAAAAACUCAAACAAUUAAUAACAAUACUCAUACACCAAUAAUACAAUACUCAUGCGAUGAAAUACCAAGCUUAAACAUCAAAAACUAAUUUACUUAUGCCAAGAUUAACCACAAACAACCCUUUUUAAAAUCCCAUUUUCAUUUGAACAAGAUUGACAAUACAACAAUGGCCACAAUUUCUAAUAGAAUAGAAAGGGAGCAAAAUAAGAGAGAGAAUCAAACUAAUAGAAAACACAAGAAACCAAAAGAAAGUGAAUGACUGAGAGUGGGGAAAACAUGGAAAAGAAGAAGAAAAAGAAAGAAAAUAUAAAAUAAAAUAAUUUAAGAGUGAGGAAACAUGCCAAAAGGUUUGGCUUGUGAACUAAAAACACAAAUUAAUAAUAAAAAAUAAAAAAUGGUAAUAUCCAAUCAACAUAUUUGAUUUUGAUAACUUAUCAUAUUUUUCCCAAAGUUUGGAUUUAACUUAACCACAAAUACAAAGUAGCACCAAACAUGAGACCAAAAAUAUAUUUCCACUUUGCAUACGUAAGGAUUCAAACACAAUACCAAAGGGUAAGUUGACACCUUACCACUGAACCAGUAGACUCACUCUGUCACAAGUUGAGCUAUCAGUGUAACACAUGCGUGACACAUGCUUAAACUUUGACCAUUUCAUAUGGUUGUUUAAACUUACUAUAUCAGUAUUGUUAGCUUAAUUUUAGGUAGUUUAAACUUUGAUCUCAUCUCCUAAAGAAUAGGGAUUAGCUCGUGUAUAGCUUGUAUAAAUUCCUCUGUAACUUUGGUCAUUGAAUAUAGAAAACUAAUUCCACAAUUCUCUGCUUCUUUAUGGUAAUCAGAGCUUCCAAAUCUUAACCGAUCCAAAUCCAGUUUUUUCCUCUAAUCUCGUCCCCUCCAAUGGCCUUCCCUACUGCUAGUGGUGACAACAAUCUCACCACAUCGCCGGUAAUUCAAUUUCAUCCAGCAUCUCAGCUCCCGAUCAAGCUCACUGGGAGUCUCAACUUCUCUACAUGGAAAGCUCAAUUUUCCAUACUUAUGUAUGGCCACGAUCUCUACGGCCAUCUCGAUGGCACCGAACCAUCUCCUACACGCACCAUUGGCGAGAGUGACAACCCAAAUCCAGCCUUUAGCCUUUGGUUUCGACAAGAUCAACUCAUUCAGAAUGCGCUUAUGGCAUCGGUCGAUCCGACCAUUGCACCUACGGUGGCCAACGCUUCCUCCGCUCAACGUGCCUGGGAAGCCCUCCACUCUACUUAGCCAACAAGUCUCACUCUAGGCUCUUUAGUCUUCGCGACCAGCUUGCUCGCAUCUCCAAAGACACUCAAUCUAUUUCAGCAUACCUCUCUCGUGCUCGUGCAAUUGCUAAUGAACUGGCUGCGGCUGGUGCCCCACUUGCUGAUGGAGACUUGGUCGUUCACAUUCUUCAUGGUCUUGGCUCCGAGUAUCGUGAAAUCUUGGCUGCCAUUAGAGCCAGAGAUGUGACCAUGUCAUAUGAAGAUUUGUGCGAUAAGUUAAUGGAUCAUGAGGUGUUCUUAGCCCAUGAAGAAUCCAAGAAGCCGAUGGCUCCUAUAACAGCUGCGGUAGCACAACGCGCAAGGUCUUCGAACAACACUACCCCUCGGAACAACCGAAGAAAUUCCCAGCCGUGGCGUAAUAAUGAACGAUCCAGCAACCAAUCCUCUUACUGGCAAGACAACAAUCGCUCAUCAAAUGGACGCAGAAACAAUUCUAAUUCGGAUGUUCGCUGCCAAUUAUGUAAAAAAACAGGACAUGAAGCGGAUGUUUGUUGCUCAGCCUCGCACAACCAUUAUGAGGCUAAGACAAAUUUUGCAAUGACACAUUCUCAGAAUCGAAACACAUGGCUGGUUGACUCUGGUGCAUCGCAUCACAUGACUUCCGAAUCUCAUGAUAUGCCUCAAUAUUUUGGAAAUGAUGGUAUUACUAUUGGCAAUGGUAUGAAAAUUCUGGUAACUCACUCAGGCACAACACACUUACAAGCAUCGAAUUCUGUUUUUAAGCUUCCUCACACUUUUUGUGCUCCUAAGCUUAAACGCAAUUUAAUUUCGGUUUCACAAUUUUGUCAUGAUAACCAAACAUCAAUUGAAUUUUUCCCAUCUUACUUUUGUGUGAAGGAUCUCACCACAAAGACACCAUUGGUGCACGGUUGGAGUAGAGAUGGACUGUACGAAUGGCCUAGCCGAUCGCCUUCAUAACCCACAGCCUUCACUGCCCAUCACACCAUGCCAAAUGCAGUCUGGCAUCAUAGGCUAGGUCAUCCAAAUUUAAGACUUUUCAAUUUUAUUUGCAGCAAGUUCCAGUUAUCAGUUUCAACCAAAGACAAUUUUACGACUUGUAAUUCUUGUCAAUGCAAUAAAUCCCAUCAUUUGCCGUUUAAAGAGUUUUCUCUCACAAGUACAAAACCUUUGCAAACUAUUUUCUAUGAUUUAUGGGGUCCUUCUCCAGUCCUUUCCAUUGACAACAAGUUAUAUUAUUGUAUCUUUGUUGAUUAAUUUACCAAGUAUACCUGGUUAUUUACUUUGAAACUCAAAAGUGAAGUUAAAACCAUUUUCCAAAUGCUCAAACCAUUGCUUGAAAAACACUACUCCACAACCAUUCUCUCCUUCUACACUGAUAGAGGGACUGAAUACAAGAGCCUAGACCCAUACCUUCAAACCAAUGGUAUUGAACAUUUAGUGAGUCCACCUUACACACCACAACAAGUAGCCACUGUAGAGCGUCAACAUCGACACAUAGUUGAGAUGGUAAAAUCCUUACUACACCAAGCUACCCUUACUCCCUCAUUUUGGUCAUUUGCUUGUCACCAUGCGAUCUACUUAAUCAAUCGCAUGCCCACUCCCUUGCUGUAGUAUAAGUCCCCCUAUGAACAACUACACCAUAAAACACCAACCUAUGAUAACAUUAAAAGCUUCGGUUGCUUGUGUUAUCCAUGGCUCAAACCCUACGCUAAUCAUAAACUUGAUCCCAAGUCCAAGCCAUGUGUCUACCUCGACGUGUCAAUCACUCAUCAUUCUCACAUUUGUUAUGAUCCUGUGAAUUCCAAGGUCUAUCUAUCUCGUGAUGUCUCAUUUGUUGAAACCGAGUUCCCGUAUCAAACAUGAUUCCGUAACUUGUUACCCACCUCCAAAAUCAUUGAGUGGGAUAUGUUUCCCACCAACAAUUGUGAACAUCACUCCCCAGUGCACCCAAACGAACCUGCCUUACCUUUCUCAAUUCUCGAACCAUGUCUGCCCCCAUCCAUGGUCUGUUCUCAACAAACCCCACCAACCAGGACUAUCGACUCGUGUCCGGCACCACUGGCGUCCUCGAUCAUCCCAGGUAUGUAUUCUCCUCCUACUACUCCUUCGUCACCAAACAACGCCUCACUCACAACCUGAGGCAACCCCAGCCCUACCCGAUAACCCAAUUGUUUUAUCAACACCUAUUGACGAGUCAGCCUCACCCUCAUCCGAUGCAGCCCAUGUCUCGUCCCCAAACCCCACUGCUACUACCUCUUCCCCUCCGAUACCACAACCUUCCCCUGUUAUUCCACGAGUUGUCACUCGCUCCCAGAACAAUAUUUUUAAACCAAAAAAACCAUUUAGCUUCCUUACACUUGUCUCAACUGAAACCAUACCCACCACUGUGAACCAAGCUCAAAAACACAAAGAGUGGUGGGAUGUUAUGAAAGAAGAGCUUGAUACUUUAGCUCGAACUGAAACUUGGGAACUAGUUCCCAAAGAUAACACUAAAAAUGUUGUUGCUUGUAAAUAGAUUUUCAGGAUAAAACGCAAGUCGGAUGGAACGAUUGAUUGUUAUAAAGCGAGGCUGGUUGCCAAGGGGUUUACCUAACGGCCAAGCAUUGACUACCACUCAACCUUCAGUCCCGUGGUCAAACAAACAACGGUACGAGUUGUACUAUCCCUUGCCAUUUCAAAUAAUUGGGUGCUUCGACAGCUAGAUGUCAACAAUGUGUUUCUGCAAGGCGAUCUUACUGAAGAGGUUUAUAUGUCUCAACCUCUUGGUUUUGCAUCCUCUACUGCUCCGACUCAUGUAUGCUGUCUUAACAAAGUAAUUUACAACCUCCAGCAAGCUCCGCUGGCAUGGUAUACUGCCCUCACGACCUACCUGCAUGAGCUUGGUUUUGCCAAGUCUAAAUCUGAUCCUUCUCUCUUUAUAAUGUGCAAUGGUGCAGUCCAAAUAAUUGCUCUGUUUUAUGUCGAUGAUAUCAUUAUUACUGGGACUCAUACCUCCACAAUUGAUCGAGUUAUAAACUCUCUUGCCAAUCGAUUUUCAAUAAAGUAUCUUAGGCAUCUACACUAUUUUUUGGGAGUUGAGGUAACCCGAACCGUUGACAGCCUAUAUCUCACUCAAACAAACUACAUUGCCGAACUGCUCAAUGCUGAGAAUAUGCAGGAUUGUAAUCCUGCUCCUACACCGAUGAGGAGCACUGAUUCGUUAUCUUUACGUGAUGGAGCACCCUCAUUUGAUGCUACAUGCUAUCGUACAGUGCUUGGUAAAUUGCAGUAUUUAUCCUUUACAAGGCCUGACAUUAAUUACUCUGUCAACAAGCUCUCUCAAUUCAUGUAUCAACCAUCCGCGCUGCAUUGGAAAUCUUUGAAACGUAUACUACGAUAUCUGCGUGGCACCACUACACUUGGUUUGAGACUUCAAUCUGCGCAACAAUUUGAUCUAUCCAUGUAUGUUGACGCCGACUGGGUCGGGGAUCUUGAUAGUCAAAAUUCAACAUCGGGCAACAUUCUGUUUCUUGGACCAAACCCGAUUAGUUGGGUCUCCAAGAAACAACAAACCAUUGCUCGGUCAUCAACUGAAGCAGAGUUCAAGGCUGUUGCAAACUCUAUAUCCGAGGCCUGUUGGGUCACAAAUCUUCUUCUAGAAUCUGUAUCCGAGGCCUGUUGGGUCACAAAUCUUCUUCUAGAAUUGCGAGUUCAUCAAACAGUUCCGCCGACGGUAUAUUGUGACAAUGUCGGCAUGAUUUAUCUUAGUAAAAAUCCUGCAAUCCACACUCGUAUGAAGCAUGUUGCUGUCGAUUUUCAUUAUGUUCGAGAUAAAGUACACCGAAACCAGCUCCGUAUUGUUCAUGUUCAUGCCAAGGAUCAACUUGUAGACACGUUUACCAAACCCUUGGCAAAUAAUCUUUUCCAACUUCAUCUGUCCAAGCUUGGAGUUACUUUGAACUCUCAGUUUGGAGGGCGUAUCAGUGUAACACAUGCCUGACACAUGCUUAAACUUUGACCAUUUCAUAUGGUUGUUUAAACUCACUAUAUCUGUAUUGUUAGCUUAAUUUUAGGUAGUUUAAACUUUGAUCUCAUCUCCUAAAGAAUGGGGAUUAGCUCGUGUAUAGCUUGUAUAAAUUCCUCUGUACCUUUGGUCAUUGAAUAUAGAAAACUAAUUCCACAAUUCUCUGCUUCUUUAUGAGCAGAAAUAAAAUUUAAGUCAAAUGUACAGAGAUAAAGAUAGGAACAAAAAUAACAAAAAUUCCCAAGAGUGAGAUUUGAACCCAUGACUUGAAACACACAUCCAAAACACUUAACCAUUAAAUCAGAUCACUUAACUUGACAAAAUUUAACAAAAUAAAAACUCAAAUUUGGGGGCGUUAUAACUUUCCCCCUAAAAGAAAUUUUGAUCUCGAUAUUUACUCGAUUUGAACAGACAUAGAUAUUGCUGUCGAAUCGAGUCAUCCGGUUCCCAAGUGGCUUAUUAUUAACCAUGAUGCCGCCAUAGAACCUUAACCAAUGAAAUGUCUUUCUCCUUAAGACCUUAAUCUCAUGAUCAAGAAUUUGAAUUGGUUCCUCCUCAAAUGUCAAAUCCUAUCUCACCUCAAUCUCCUCGAUAAACACAAUAUGAGACAGACCGAUACCGCCUCAACAUAAAGACAUGAAACACAUCAUGAAUACAAUCUAACUCCAGAGGUAACUCUAACUAAUAGACGACUGACCUGACUCAUUUCAGAAUCCGGUAAGGCCCAAUGAACCUAGGGCUCAACUUGCCUUUACGUCCAAACAGAAUGACUUUCUUCCACAAAGAUACCUUAAGGAAAACUCGAUCUCCCACAACAAACUCAAUAUCCAUUAUUUUUAGAUCCGCAUAAGACUUAUGUCUAUCAGAAGCUACCUUAAGAUGAUCCCGAGUUAGUCAAACCUUAGCCUCAGUCUCAGAAAUCAAAUCAGGACCUAAAAUCCAUCUCACCCAACUCAAUCCAACACAAAGGGGUGCGAUACUUACGACCAUGCAAAACCUCAUAAAGCGUCAUUUGAAUACUGAACUGAAAGUUGUUAUUAUAUGCAAACUCAACAAGUGACAGAAACUCCUCCUAACUACCAUAGAAUUUGAUAACAUAACUUUGUAGCAUAUCCUCCAAAACAUGAAUCACUCUCUCAGAUUGCCCAUUAGUCUGAGGAUGAGAUGUAGUACUGAAUUCCAUCCAAGUACUUAGAACGAUGAAAAUAUGCAAGUGUACACAAUCAUUAUCAAGUAAUAAAGUGGCAAGUAAAUGUCGAAUUAUCGUACCCACAGGGACUGUUUAAGAAAAUUAUUUAUGAAAUGAAAUUCAAACACUUUGGUGAUUAAAAAUAUUUUUAUUUUGAGGAAGUGAUUAAAAACUAAAAUUUAACUAAGUAGAAUAAAAUAAAAUAAAAUAAAAAUUCCAAUACACGAUUUCAAAAAGUAAUCAAGAUGACAUAGUUGUGUUAGAUCAAUUACAUUUCUUAACUUAAUGUUACUAAAACAAUGUUCAUGUUGUUACAAAUAAGUUCACGACAACUUGGCAAUUUGUUAACUAUAGCACAUACGGACUUACUAAAUUAACUAAUCUCUUGAAUAUACCACUAUGCCAAUUAAAAUAAUUAAUAAAUUUAAAUAAGCAAGUAAAAUAUUAAGUGAGGUAACAAUUAAUAAAUUGAUGAUAAUUCAAGUUUAACUCAAUUUGAAUUUAAGUUAUUGAUAUUUUAUGAUCAAAUCAAGUUAAAUUAAGUUUAAAUUUAAAUUCAUCAAGUCAAAUUUCUAGUUCAGAUAAAAAAAAUAGCUACUCAAAUUUUUUUUUGUUUUUAAAAAUUUAUUCUACUAUAUAUUAUAUCGAGAUACUUCUAAUUACAAUUCAAUAUUUCAAAGAAAAAAAAACACAUUGCUCAUUUUUUCAGUCAUCCAUAUUUUCAUCCUAUUUUUAUAUUUCAAAGAAAAAAAAACAAUAUAAAAACAAUUAAAAUAUAAAAUAGUAGAUUUUUCACAACGAAAAGCUUGACAAGAACUUUAUUGAAUUAUUAUAAGGCAAAACAUUAUUAAUUAGAAUUUAAUAACAAUUCCUUGAGGAACAAGCUUGGAGAGGAAAAUUCAAUAUAAUUUCAAAGUGGGACUUGUUCAAUGAGCAAUGAAGUGAUUCCACCCUUAGUCACUUUUCCAACAUAUGUAUAGCCAUCUCCUUCCCUAUAAAGCACAUCCAUCACUCUUGUAAGGUUUAGGCUACGAUCAAAAACUUCUGUUGGCAUUUCUGUUGGUUUCAAAAACUCUUGAUUCAUAUCUUUCCAAGCACUCUCAAUAUAAUUGUUGAAUACAUCGUAUGUCUCUUCUGCUGUUACGCCAUAUUCUUCCAUGUAAUAGUCGACUGUUGACCAAUCGUCUUCUUUCCUAUGCUUGAACUACAGCCGUAAUAAAAUCAAAAUUAUUCUAUCAUUAUAUACCCUAAAAUUUGUCAGUAUAUUAAACUUUAUUGGUUUAGUGAUGAUAAAAUAGCUUUAUUGGCAAUACUUCUUCACUAUUAACCUUAAAAUGAAAUUAGUUUUCUUUUAUUCUUCUAUUUAAGACUAAACAUUUGAUAUAUAAACAUAGUUUGAUUUCGUUACAAGGACAUUCAAUUAUUGAGUUAAGAGUUCAAUUUCUUGUAAUUAUAUAAAUAUAUUAUUAUACCUUGUGUUCAACAACAUCAUCCAUAAACCUACAAAUAAUUGCAGAAGCUUGAAUGAUCUUAGGGUCAUUGGCUGCCCAUUUAAAGGUCUCUGGUGUUAUGAUAUCUCCCAUGCCGACAUAAGAUGUAAUAGCAAGCAUGGCAUAACCACAAGUUAGCAAUGCAUUAGCCUUAAACUUGUCAAAAAACGGUUUGUAUUUUUGAAUAGCCCAUUUGGCCUCCACAAGGUAGGAUUGAGCAAGUCGUAUAAUCUAAGGCAACAAAAUCCCAACAGUUAUCACUAAUAUCAAAUCAAAUUCUAUAAUAAUGUUUAAAUGACUAAAUAUUGUUAUUCAAGUUAGUUGUUUAAUCAAAUCUAGAAUUUAGCUAAUAUUUUAUCUCUUUUGCACAAAAUAAAUAUUUGUCGAUAUGCAUACUUCAUUUUUCACAUAUUCAACACGGUAUUAUCUGUCGUGCUUAGCCACCAGUUGUUCCAUUUCUUCAAAAAUAUCUAAUAGUGCCUUGUAGCUCAAUUUCAUGUAUUCUGGAAGUUGAUCUAUGCAUUUGAUAUCACACCUGAAUUCAACUUUAUUGUUAUAUUUGAUCAUUCCUCAUUAUAUAUAAAUGAAUGUUAAUCUCCAAUUAAAAAAAUUAAAGAUAUAACCUCUCAAUAGCUGCUGUAUAGGGAAUGAGCUCAUCAUAUGUUGCAUAUGAGUCAUAUGUAUCAUCUAUAAUAGAUGACAUUGCUAUCACUUUUGUCAAUAUCUUUCUACCAAGUGAGUAUUGGGGCUCAAAGUACACUCCCAAGGUCCAAAAAUAGCCUUCAACCACUCUAUCUCUUGCAUAUGAAAACUUUCUUCGAACGUCUAAAUCUUUCCACCACCUAAAAAAUCAUAUCAUAGAAGAGCCCAUUAACACAUUGAAUCUUCAAAAUUUUAAUUAGUUUCAAAUUCAUGUUGUCGAUGAGUAAAUUGUUAGAUUCUUGAUUCAAUUGGCAACCUCAUAUUUUAAAAAAUAUAUAAGUAAAAUGAAAUAGGUGAAAAAGAUUAAUCCAAGUUUCGUGUUGUCACUUUUAACUAAUUGUUAUUUAAUACGAAUAAAAUAUUAGCAUUUUCAACUUUUCUCGUAUAUUGAGGAUGAUGCUUCAUAUAAAUUCAAACCCCUCCACCAAAAAGUUAAAAAAGAGGAAAAAAGAAAAAGUGGGUGAAAAAGAUUCAAAAACAUACCUACAAAUCUCACUUAGCUCUUUCCUAUGCAAAAGUUGUAACAUGUUGAAAUCGAUCUUAGCAAACUCCAACAAAGCCUUAUUAUGGGACUCAAUAUCUUGGUAUACUGAAAGAUAGUGCCUUGCCUCAACCCUUGGCAAGCCUCUUCGAAUUGAUUGUUUCAAAGCAUGAGAAACCUGUUCGGACAAAGGGUAGUCCAAAGAUGCUACUACAAGGCUUAAAUGGUUGGUGGUGAAAGAAAUUGCUUCAUCCAAUAUAUCUUCCCCAUGAACCCUCAAAUAGGAGGCUUCAUAAAGUUCCAACAAUCCUCGAACAUCGAUUGUCACAAAUGAAUUGACAUUCCCUUGCUCGCCUUUAAACUUGUUGAAUACCUCUGAGAUCAAAUUACCCAAAAUGAUAUAUCAUUAUCAAACAUUCCAUGAAAUUUUAUACUCAAGAAACUUAAAACUCUAUGUUGUUGUUCCAAUAAAUACCACAUGAAACAUUGAAUCCAUGCUCUCGAAGUAGUCGGAAUCGAAGAGAUGUAGUAUAGAGGUCCUUCUCGGCGUCAUUGUCGUUAUGGUAGAUGUUCUCUAGUUCAUCUUCGAUCUCCUUCAUGAAAUGGUAACUCACACCCAAUCUUUGGACUGAAUCAAUGAAGGUUAACUUUUGGGUUGAAUUAGCCAUUGGUGCUACAAUCAUCUUCCGCACUUCUUCUUUCAAUUGUUGGUGGUGUUUUUCAGUUUCAUCAUCAAUAUUCUACUCAAAAUAAUGAAAAAUUUAUUCAUAUUGAAUCACUAAAUAAUUAAACAAAUAAUAUGUUCAGAUUAUAUUUCAAUAUGGUCAUAUGUAUGUAUACCUUGUCGGGAAAACUGAGGAAGAGAUCUCCCCAAAUGCUAGGCUGAAAAUCGGAUUUGGGACGCAUUUCAUCCUUAUUGGAAGAAAGGGUUGAUGAAGAAGGCAUUUGAGAAACUUGUGAAGCCAUUUCGAUUUAUCAAAAGUAAAUGUUCAAAAACUUUUAUGGUUUGCUCUUCAAAUUUGGCACAGAAUCUGUGAGGAUAAGAAUGCAACCAUUGCAUGUAUUUAUAGGUAAAAAAGAAAUACGUAGAUUAAAUUGUAAAGACAUAUAUCUAUUGCAUAGAUAAAAUUUUAUUGACACUAUUUUCCAAUACAUCAAAUUCAAGUUUCAUGUGGUAGAUUUUUAAAAUUUAAUCCGCGUGUUUUCACUACAUAGAUCAAGUUUACAAAUUAAUUCGUGUGUUUAAGUAUAUUCCACAUCAUAUCCUAAUUUACAUAUUUAAACUAUGAACGUUUGAUGGAAUUAACUGAAAAUAAUAUAAGCUUAUUAAGCCUUCAAACUAUUUCAAAAAAUCAAUUAAACUCCUUUGAACCUUUUGCACCCAACUGAAUCUCUAAAUUGACAAUUUUGACAAACAAGGCCCUUUGACCAACGUAAACCGUUAAAAACUAAUGGCAACAUUGACGUGAUUGUUGUUAGCCAACAAAUACUAACUUGGUAGUGACAAAUAAAAAAAAGUCAACAAAAUAUUUAAAAGUUAUUUUUACAAUAAGUAUACAAUGAACAUUGACAAAAGGAUGCCUAAGUUUAAGUUUAUUUGAAUCUGGAGGCACAUUUGUCAAGAUUCAUUCUAUAAUUAUAAAAAAUAAUAUAAAAAAUAAAAAAAUUAAUUUUCAUAAAGUUUUUUAUAAGUUAUUAAAAUUAAUUAAAACAUAUAAAAUUAAAAACCAAAUGAAUUUUAUAUAAAAUAUUUUUAUAAAUUUUAAUGAUUUUAAUGAUUUUAAAUAAAAUCUUUAUAAAAUUUCAAAUGGAUUUUAGUUAAAAGCUUUUUAUUCAACCAAAUGGAUUUUCUGCAACAUGUAUAUCCUGCAAGGAUCAACUGUGACCAGAGUAGCAAUGAUUUUCUUGUUGAUUACUCAUAAUACUCUAAAAUGACAUACUUUUUUGUGUUAAUUACAUAUAUAUAUUUUGAGUAUGGUCCUACUAAUUUGGGCUUUUUCUGGUUUUUAUCUUGUAGGGACUAAAUUGAAGGCAAACAGAAGUUUGGAGGCAAAAAGCAUGAAUUUAAAGAUAAAAUGGGUCAACAUGCUAAAUAAGGAAGAAAUGGUGCCAAAAAUACAAAGUGCAAAAGACUUGGGGCAAAAAUUCAGAGAAGAGAUUUAUGAACAGAAGACUCUAUUUAAAUUUGAAUUUUAUUUUUAGGAUUAUUUUUAGGAUUAUUAUGAUAUUAUUUAUAUUUAAUUUCCGAUUAUAUUUUUAUUUAUCUUUUAAGAGUUUAAAUAGGAACAAACUAGGUUUUCUAUAUAUUAUAAAUAGGGGAUGGAGUGAGAUGAAUAUCCACUCAUCAUUUUCUGUAAAAAAACUCUUUCUCCAUAAAGAUCUUAGUUGUAACGCCCUGAAUAAUUUAAAUCUAUUUUUGUGAAAUUUGACACAAAUAUGUAUCUCUUUUAGUGGUUAAAUGUUCUGGGUGAGUGUAUGAGGUUUUGGGUUCAAACCUCACAUUUGAAAAUUUUUGUUAUUUUUUCUGAUUCAAACCUUAUCCCUAUUGGGUGGGCUUAUAGUAUAUUAUUUGUAAACUUAUAUCAAAAUGAGUUUGCUGGUUCCAGUGGUAAGGAGUUAGCUUGUUGGAGGUCUUGCGUUUAAAUCCUCACGCGAGCAUGGAUGUUAAUUUUUGUCUUGAAUGUCUGAUAGAGUUUCGGUAGAGCUGAAAUUCUGAAUUGUUAGAAGGUUAGAGGGGAGAGGAAAUUUAUAGGAUAUGUUGUCAUAUUCUUUACCUUUUAUUUUUAUUUUUUUAUCUUUUUCUCUCACCUUUAAAAAUCCCCAAAUUUGACGUUUUCCCUUAAUGUUAAUUGGCACAAUCCCUUUUUCCCUUGACUUUUGAAUUCUGGACACGGCCAUGUGAUGGCGUGAGUGUGGCCGUGUGGGCCCACAUGGGUGUGUAGAUUUUGGGCCAGGCCGUGUGGACCACACGAGCAAGGCCAAUUUGGGCGUGUGGGCCCACACGCCAUGUGGGCCCAUAAUUUUAAAAUUUUCCCUAGGGUCGCACGAGUUGAAUAUUCAGUCAUUUCAAAAAAAAAGCAUUAAUUUUGUAUUUUAUUUUUCGUUUCUUUUAGUCAUUAAAUGUGGAUUAAUUAUUAAACCGCCCUUGCUUAAAUGCAAGAAAAUAUCAAUGUAAUGUUUCAAAAUGACAUGAAAAGAAAGAGAAAAGUCAAAUAUUCAGCCAUUUCAUAAAACAAAAGCAUUAAUUUUGUAUUUUAUUUUUCGUUUCUUUUAGUCAUUAAAUUUGGAUUAAUUAUUAAACCGCCAUUGCUUAAAUGCUAGAAAAUAUCAAUGUAAUGUUUCAAAAUGACAUGAAAAGAAAGAGAAAAGUCAAAUAUUCAGCCAUUUCAUAAAACAAAAGCAUUAAUUUUGUAUUUGAUUUUUCGUUUCUUUUAGUCAUUGAAUUUAGAUUAUUUUUUCUGAUUCAAACCUUAUCCCUACUGGGUGGGCUUAUGGUAUAUUAUUUGUAAACUUAUAUCAAAAUGAGAUGCUGGUUCGAGUGGUAAGGAGUUAGCUUGUUGGAGGUCUUGUGUUUAAAUCCUCAUGCUAGCAUGGAUGUUAAUUUUUGUCUUGAAUGUCUAAUAGAGUUUCGGUAGAGCUGAAAUUCUGAAUUGUUAGAAGGUUAGAAGGGAGAGGAAAUUUAUAGGAUAUAUUGUCAUAUUCUUUACCUUUUAUUUUUAUUCUUUUAUCUUUUUCUCUCACCUUUAAAAAUCCCUAAAUUUGACGUUUUCCCUUCAUGUUAAUUGGCACAAUCCCUUUUUCCCUUGCCUUUUGAAUUUUGGACACGGCCAUGUGAUGGCGUGAGUGUGGCCGUGUGGGCCCACAUGGGCUUGUAGAUUUUGGGCCAGGCCGUGUGGACCACACGAGCAAGGCCAAUUUGGGCGUGUGGGCCCAUAAUUUUAAAUUUUUCCCUAGGGUCGCACGAGUCAAAUAUUCAGUCAUUUCAAAAAAACAAAAGCAUUAAUUUUGUAUUUUAUUUUUCGUUUCUUUUAGUCAUUAAAUUUGGAUUAAUUAUUAAACCGCCCUUGCUUAAAUGGAAGAAAAUAUCAAUGUAAUGUUUCAAAAUGACAUGAAAAGAAAGAGAAAAGUCAAAUAUUCAGCCAUUUCAUAAAACAAAAGCAUUAAUUUUGUAUUUGAUUUUUCGUUUCUUUUAGUCAUUAAAUUUGGAUUAAUUAUUAAACCGCCAUUACUUAUAUGCUAGAAAAUAUCAAUGUAAUGUUUCAAAAUGGCAUUAAAAGAAAGAGAAAAGUCAAAUAUUCAGCCAUUUCAUAAAACAAAAGCAUUAAUUUUGUAUUUGAUUUUUGGUUUCUUUUAGUCAUUAAAUUUGGAUUAAUUAUUAAACCGCCCUUGCUUAAAUGCUUGAAAAUAUCAAUGUAAUGUUUCAAAAUGACAUGAAAAGAAAGAGAAAAGUCAUAUAUUCAGCCAUUUCAAAAAACAAAAGCAUUAAUUUUGUAUUUGAUUUUUCAUUUCUUUUAGUCAUUAAAUUUGGAUUAAUUAUUAAACCGCCCUUGCUUAAAUGCUGGAAAAUAUGAAUGAAUGUUUCAAAAUGACAUGAAAAGAAAGAGAAAAGUCAAAUAUUCAGCAAUUUCAAAAAACAAAAGCAUUAAUUUUGUAUUUGAUUUUUUGUUUCUUUUAGUCAUUAAAUUUGGAUUAAUUAUUAAACCGUCCUUGCUUAAAUGCUAGAAAAUAUCAAUGUAAUGUUUCAAAAUGACAUGAAAAGAAAGAGAAAAGUCAAAUAUUCAGUCAUUUAAAAAAACAUUAAUUUUGUAUUUGAUUUUUGGUUUCUUUUAGUCAUUAAAUUUAGAUUAAGUAUUAAAUCGCCCUUGCUUAAAUGCUAGAAAAUAUUAAUGUAAUGUUUCAAAAUGACAUGAAAAGAAAGAGAAAAGUCAAAUAUCAACGAUUUCAAAAAAAUAUAUAUUUUACUGUUGUAUUUGAUUUUUCGUUUCUUUUUUACAUUAAAUUUGCAUUGAUUAUCAAAUCACCUCAAAAUAGAUGAAAAAAUUAAGACUUGUUACCUUUGCUGAUGUGGCAUCUAUGUGGCAGUCCAUGUGUAUGCCACAUUAGCAAUUAAUUCAUUUUUGAACUUAAUUUUUUUGUCCAAAUUGUAUAGCGCUAUUGAAAUGAGUAUAUAUAACUUAUUUCAAAAUUCUUUUUCACUGUCCUGUAUCAUAUCGCAAAUAUGUGUCAGUCAUGCUACGUACACUGAAGUGUAUAACAAAGAAAUAGAAUGAAUCCCUUAAUAUGCUUAUACAUACUUGCAUCAAAUGGUACAUCAAAUUCUAUUAAAAGAAUGAACAAAGGACACAAAAUAUUUUAGGAACAAAUGAUGGUGAUUGCAUGAUUGUAUGGGUCCCAAAAUCAACCUGGUUGACCCAUCUCAUCCUCAUUUUACCAUAAACGUGUAUGAAUCUCAGCCAUCACAACACCAAGCAGAAGUCGAUAUAAGGUUCCGGUCCUUCCACCCCAACAACAUUGCCUCAUCUUUCUCUACCAAUGUGUAAUGUUUAGAGUAACACUUUAGCAGGCCUCGUAUCAUUGAAUUGAUGUAAAAGCUUACAGGGUAUGAUCGGAAUCCAGCCAUUGUUAGCCUAGACUUCCACUUACCAAAGAGCUCAUGGCGCUCAACCCUCUCAUUUCCCUCGCAAGCAAUGACGUUUAUGAUAUCCCUAGCCAGGCAGUGCUGCUCGACAUUAAUUUGUUCCCUUCAAUGUCUUGGCAUCGUCUCAUCUAUGGACUCGAACAUUGCCAACUAGUACUCCAAAGUCUUAAUGAACUUAGGGAGGAAAGAGGCUAUUUUCGUGUUUGAUUCUUGCUCAACCAAGGUGAUAACCUUGGGAGAAAGUGACCUUACCAUUCGCAGAAUCCCGUCCCUGAGAUUGUUCACAUCUACACUCUCAUCGGGGGUAUAAUGGAGCUGCAGUGGAAAUUUGACAGCAAGAGCCUUUCCAAGCUUGACAUCAAGCAUGUCCCUUGUGAUAUUUCCUACAAAAAUUGCAAUUCAAUGGAACUCAACUAGAAUACCAAACUACUCGGAUAGUGCCAUCAAACGUCUUUUGACAGUUUCUAAUCCACUACCACGGGCAUAUUUAGAAAUAGGAUCAUCAAUUCCUAUAAUCCGUACAUAAGAAGCUCAGUCUGGUCUGGCUGUAAGUGCUUGCAAGAGGGUCACCCACUUUGUUCCCUGAGCAAUCUGGAAAUCAAUAAUGUGGAUGCGAUCUUCAAUUCUACAUGCUUCAGCAAUGGCCCCAUUGGUAGCCAUGUAUCCAAAAUUAAGUACGGACAAAUUUUAUACAGGGUAUGCAUGUAUGUGAGCAAGUCAUUGCCUUCUGGCCCUUGCCAAUGAAGGGCUUGAUAUAUUUUUGGUGUUUUGAAUAAUAUGCUAGCAAGUUUUGUUGUGACUUGAGCAACAAGGCUCAAGACUUGUAGAUGAAACAAACAAAAUUCAAGAACAAAAUUAAAAGCAAAAGUAAAGAAAAGAUGGAGAGUAUGUGAUGAAUAAUUCUUCAAGGAAUUUUCAUUGAAAUGAGAAAUGGCAUACAUCCAAUACAAAUACUAGACAUUAGAUGGUCACCACAAACAAAUCAAUACCUAAACACUACCUAACUCCACUAAUUACAUUGUAACUUACAAAACCUUACUUGCACUCAUGAACAAGCUAAUUUUUCAUCUAACUAGCACAUAAAACAUCAAGUACAACUUGUUUUUGUUUUCAACUAAGCUACAAAAUAUUAUUCCUAAUUAACAAAAAUGAAACAGUAGCUCGAUCUGCUAGAACUUCACUUGCUCGGGUUGUUCCUGGUGCAACAAGGGCAGUAUGCUGGCCAACUUUAACUCUCCUCCUUGGCUCGCAUGCUGCAAACUCCCAAACUCAUUCUCAAGUGCUCAAACUUUGUUACACUAAAGGGCUCGGUCAAAAUUUUAGCCAGUUGAUCCUCUGAAUUGCAAUGAAACAAUUUUACUUCCUGUGCUUGCUCCAUUUCUCUGACAGGAUGAAGCUUAAUGUUGAAGUGCUUUGUCCUUCCACAGAACACUGGAUUCUUUACAAUUACAAUAGUAGAUUGGUUGUCACAAAAGAUCUUUAUUGCUUCCCUUUGGUGCACAUUUAAAUCUGCCAUAAUUUUCCUUAGCCAAAUGACUUGGUUGACAGCACUUGCAGCUGCUACAUACUCAGCUUCAGCAGUAGAUUGACCAACUAUUAUUUUCUUUUUCGAGCUCCAGCAAAACAUAGCUGAAUCGAGGGUGAAGACAUACCCUAAGGUUCUCUUCAUGUCAUCCAUCGAACCAACCCAGUCACUAUCAGUAUAACCAACCAAUUUUAAGCUUUCAACUUUGCUAUACAGCAUUCCAUAGCUCAGGGUACCCUUGAUAUACCUAAGCACCCUUUUUGCAGCUUGAAAAUGUUUUUCAUUGCAACAAUGCAUAAACCUUGAAAGCAAGCUUACUGUAAACAUGAUAUCUGGCGUAGUGGCAGUCAAGUAUAGCAAACAUCCAACUAGGCUCCUAUAAGUAGUUUCACCAAUCUACUAAAAAUCACCUUGGCUCGAUAGUUUUUCUCCCAUGGCAACUGGAGUGCUUGUUGCCUUGUUGUUUUGCAUUGAGAAUUUUGUCAAAAUUUUGGAGGCAAAGACUUUCUGACUUAGGAAUAUUUCACUCUGUGUUUGUGUCACCUCUAUGCCAAGAAAAUAUGUCAUCAUUCCUAGAUCAGACAUCUCAAAUAUUUGUUGCAUUUUGACUUUGAAAUCAUUCAGCAUUGUUUGGUUUCCUCCUGCCACCAACAGGUCAUCAACAUACAGGGAUACAAUGAGCUGAGUUUGUACCCUUUCCUUUUUGACAUAAGAUUUGGCUCAAUAAUGCUCCUUUCAAAUCCCAAACUAACCAAGUAGCUAUCGAUCCUGCUAUACCAGGCCCUUCGUACCUAUUUCAAGCCAUACAAGGCUUUCUUCAGUCUGUAAACCAUGUCUUUCUUACCAGCCACUUUGAAACCUUGAGGCUAUUUAACAUAGAUAUCUUCUUCAAGAAAUCCAUUGAGGAAGGCUGACUUCACAUCGAGCUAGUGAAUUUUCCACUGUAUUUGUGCUGCUAAGGCAACUAGCAACCUGAUGGUGUCGACUUUGCCCUUGGUGCAAAGGUCUCCAGAUAACCUGUGUCAUACUUCUAGCAAAAUCCCUUCACAACUAGCCUUGCUUUCAACUUGUUCAAACUUCCAUCAGCAUUAUGUUUGGCCAUUUCACUCUAAUGGUCUUUCUGUUGGUUGGUCUUUCAACUAGUUCCCAAGUCUGAUUCUUUUCAAUCAUUUUGAUUUCAUUAGCCAUUACCUAUUUCCAGCCUUACUGAAGUUCAGCCUUUUCAAAACAGCUUGGUUUCACUAUGGCUACUUGAGCUUUUUCAUAAAUCUCAGCCAAUGGUCUACUACUCCUGACUGGUUCAUUAUCAAUGUCAAUUUCAGGACCAUUCUAAUCAGAUUCAUUCUGAUCUAUUACAAGGUCUUUAGAAACAGCCUCUGGCGCAUUCUUUUUCCAGUUCCAGCUAGACAUCUCAUCGAAUACCAUAUCUCUACUCACCAGCACCUUGUUUGCUAAAGUAUCCAAGAUCUUAUAUCCCUUUUUGAUAGUGUUGUAGCCCACCAGUAUGCCAGAUUGAGCCCUUUUUGACAGUUUGUCCCUUUUCACAACUGGGAUAUGUGCAUAGCAUAUGCAGCCAAAGAUCCUCAAGUAAGCCAGUGAUGGUUUAAACCCAAACCAGGCCUCAAAUAGAGUUUUGUGAGCCAAAGCCUUGGUUGGGAGCCUGUUUUGGAUGUAGAAAACAGUGUUAACUACCUCAACCCACAAGGUUUUGGGCGAAUUCUUCUUAAACAUCAAACACCUGGCCAUAUUCAUCAAACUUCUAUUUUUUCUUUCACUAGCACCAUUAUGUUGAGGAGUAUAGGUGUUGGUGAGCUAGUGUUUGAUGCUUGCUUCAUCACAAAAAGCUUGAAUUUGAGCUAAGGUGUACUCAGUUCCAUUAUCAGACCUUAAAGUCUUAAGCUUGUAGCCUGUUUUAGUAUCUAUAGUAGCCUUGAACUUCUAGAACACAGAGGCCACCUCUGAUUUAUGCUUCAAAAAAUAAAUCCAGCAAAAUCUUGAGUGAUCAUCAAUGAACAGAAUGAAAUACCUGUUUCCAUUCAAAGACUGAGUAUUUAUGGGGCCAUACGCAUCAGUGUGCACAAGCUGCAGCCUUUCUAAGGCUCUAUAGGCUUUGUUUGAAGGAAAUGAGAGACUGGCCUGCUUUCCCAAUUGACAUACUUCACAGACCCUCUUUUUCAACUGAGUUGAUGAAGUUCUCAACCAGAUCUUCUUUAGUUAACUGGUUCAUCGACCUGUAGUAGGCAUGACCAAGCCUUUGGUGCCAAAGCUUAGAUUCAUCUAAUGAGGCUAUGUAGGCUGAUUUUGAGCCAUUUGUCCAGUCAACUACGAAACUCUUAUCAGCCAUAGUGACUGACAUGAGCCUGGAUCCACUUGGAUCACUAAUUUGACACUCAUCUCCUUUGAACACAAUAGAAUAGCCUUUCUGCAGAAGCUGAGCUAUGCUAAGCAAAUUUCUGUCAAUCUCAUGCAUCAACAACAUAUUUGAAACAAGCUUGCUACCUGUGGAAGUGAUUAUCAGCACAUCCCCUCUGCCUUCAGCCUUAAUCAAGUGGCCAUUACCAACUUUCACCUUUAUUUUGAAGCUUCUGUCAAUUGACUUGAAAAUGGCAGCAUCUGGUGUCAUAUGGUUGGUGCAACCACUGUCAAUGAGCCAUCCCUUUGUGGCCUUUUUUUAGUGGAUGGGCAUGAAACUACAAAAAAUUACUCUUCAUGAUCACUGCCCUCUUUUGAUACUCGAGCUCCAGUAUUUGGUUGUUGUGGUUGAUACUGCAUUAGUUUGCCUUUCCUUCUGCAAACCUUUUCAACAUGGCCCAUCUUUUUACAGUGUUGACACUGCACAUCUGGUCUAAACCAACAAUUGGCUUCUGGAUGACCAGGUCUUUUGCAAUACCUGUAAGGUUGAUCCCUUCUUCUUGUAGCAUCUAACUUAGGCUUGUCUCUCCAAGUCUUUUUGCCUUUGUAGGUAGAGGUGCUCGAGGCAGGCUUAGUUUUUGCUUGGAAGGCACCUUCUUAGUGCUUCUCAAGCCUACUAGCUCUUAUUUGCUCUUAUGCAUAAAGAGCAUUGAUCAGCUCUAUCAAUGAGAUGCUAGUCAGGUCCCUUGAGUCUUCGAGGGAUGAAUUUUUUGCCUCAUCCUCUCAGGUAAAGUUGAGAUUACCUUCCCACUAUUCUAGCUUUACUGAACUGCUCUCCUAGGAGCUUUAUGUUGUUUACCACAGCCAUAAUCCUGUCUGAAUACUACUUGAUUGUUUCUUCCUCCUUCAUCUUCAAGUUCUCGAAAUCUCUUCUCAGAUUUAAAAGCUGUUGCUACCUUGUUCUUUCAGUUCCUUGGAACUCUUCUUUUAGUUUGUCCCAGGCUUGCUUUGGUGUCUCAUAGGCCAUGAUUCUUGUAAAGAUCACAUCUGACAUACAGUUUUGGAUGCAAGAUAUGGCCUUGUGCCUCUUAGUCCUUUCAUCAGCAUGAUGUCUGAUCUGAGCCACAGUUGGAUUGGCUCGAAGUGGUGCUGGUUCAACAUCUGAGUUGACCACUUCCCAUAGAUCGAAUGCCUACAAAUAGGUUUUCAUUUUGACCACCCAUUUGUGAUAGUCCUCUCCAUUGAAGACUGGUAGUACAGCUGGUGAAAAGCCUGGUGAAGCCAUCGUUUUAAAAUGUUGAGCUAUAACAGGUCCACUGAGAUUAUGGCUCUAGAUUCCAAUUGUUGGUGUUUUGAACAAUAUGCUAGCAAGUUUUGUUGUGACUUGAGCAACAAGGCACUAGACUUACAGAAGAAACAAACAUAAUUCAAGAACAAAAUUAAAAGCAAAAGUAAAGAAAAGAUAGAGAGUAUGUGAUGAAUAAUUCUUUAAGGAAUUUUCAUUGAAAUGAGCAAUGGCAUAAAGACAAUACAAAUACCAGACAUGAUCUGGUCACCACAAACAAAUCAAUACCUAAAACACUACCUAACUCCACUAAUUACAUUGUAACUUGCAAAACCUUACUUGCACUCAUGAACAAGCUAAUUUUUCAUCUAAUAAGCACCUAAAACAACAAGUACAACUUGUUUUGUUUUCAACUAAGCUAUAAAACAUUAAUUCAAAAUUAACAAAAUGAAACAGUAGCUCGAUCUGCUGGAAUUUCACCUGCUCGGGUUGUUCCUAGUGCAACAGGGGCAGUAAGCUGGCCAACUUCAACAUAUAUGUUAGAUCCCGAUGCCUCUACCUUUCCACCAUGUAAGCAUCGAGACGCUGGAUUGGUUCUCUAUAGAUAGACACAGUAACCCCGGCCUUUGCAAUCAACAUAUUGAAUUUAUCGAUAUUAUUUUCAAAGAGAGUUUUAGUACAUGCAAUCAACAACUGCUUUAGAUUCCCCGAUGGAAUCCUCUGUAAAGAUAAAUCCUCUAUUGCAGUCAGACGUUUCUCUACAUGAGCAACUUAAGUUGAUUGCCUAUAGUUAGUAACAAAGGUUUUUCGAGGUUGACACAUGGAAUAUCCUUGGCAGUCCUUACUAGAUGCCCUGUAUCACUGGCCAUUUUUCUGCGGUGUAUUGGUUACUUCAUUGGCCCCAUCAUGUGCCCUUUGACCAAUGUAAACCGUUAAAAACUAAUGGUAACAUUGACGUGAUUGUUGUCAGCCAACAAAUACUAACUUGGUAGUGACAAAUAAAAAAAAAGUCAACAAAAUAUUUAAAAGUUAUUUUUACAAUAAGUAUACAAUGAACCUUGACAAAAGGAUGUCUAAGUUUAAGUUUAUUUGAAUCUGGAGGCACAUUUGUCAAGAUUUAUUCUAUAAUUAUAAAAAAUAAUAUAAAAAAUUAAAAAUUAAUUUUCAUAAAGUUUUUUAUAAAUUACUAAAAUUAUUAAAACAUAUAAAAUAAAAAACCAAAUGAAUUUUAUAUAAAAUAUUUUUUUAUCAAUUUUAAUGAUUUUAAUUGUUUUAAAUAAAAACUUUAUAAAAUUUAAAAUGGAUUUUAGUUAAAAGGUUUUUAUUCAACCAAAUGGAUUUUCUGCAACAAGUAUAUCUUGCAAGGAUCAACUGUGACCAGGGUAGCCACGAUUUCCUUGUCGAUUACUGAUAAUACUCUAAAAUGGCAUACUUUUAUGUGUUAAUUGCAUAUAUAUUUUGAGUAUGGUUCUACUAAUUUGGGUUUUUUUUAUGGUUUUUAUCUUGUAGGGACUAAAUUGAAGGCAAACAUAAGUUUGGGUGCAAAAAACAUGAAUUUGAAGACAAAAUGGGUCAACAUGCAAAAUAAGGAAGAAAUGGUGUAAAAAAGACAAAGUGCAAAAGACUUGGUGUAAAAAUUCAGAGAAGAGAUUUAUGAACAGAAGACUCUAUUUAAAUUCGAAUUUUAUUUUUAGGAUUAUUAUGAUAUUAUUUAGAUUUAAUUUUAGAUUAUAUUUUUCUUUAUCUUUAAAGAGUUUAAAUUGGAAUAAACUAGAUUUUCUAUAUAUUAGAAAUAGGGGAUAGAGUGACGUAAAUAUUCAUUCAUCAUUUUCUAUAAAAAAAACUCCUUCUCCCUAAAGAUAUUAGCUGUAACACCCUGAAAAAUUUAAAUCUAUUUUUGUGAAAUUUGAGACAAAUAUGUAUCUGCUUCAGUGGUUAAAUGUUUUGGGUGUGUGUAUAAGGUUUUUGGUUCAAGUCCCACAUUUGAAAAUUUUUGUUAUUUUUUUAUUCAAAUCUUAUCCCUGUUGGGUGGGCUUAUAGUAUAUUAUUUGUAAACUCAUAUUAGAAUGAGUUUGUUGGUUCGAGUAGUAAGGAGUUAGCUUGUUGGAGGUCUUGUGUUCGAAUCCUUGCGCGAGCGUGGAUGUUAAUUUUUUUCUUGAGUGUCUAAUAGAGUUUCGAUAGAGCUGAAAUUCUGAAUGGUUAGUGGGUUAGAGGGGAGAGGAAGUUUAGGGAUAUGUUCUCAUAUUCUUUAACUUUUAUUUUUACUUUGUUAUCUUUUUCUCUCACCUCUAAAAAUCCCCAAAUUUGACGUUUUCCCUUCCUGUUAAUUUGCACAGUUUUUUCCCUUGCCUUUUGAAUUAUGUCGUAAUCUUAUUGGCUAAUCUUGGUAUUUUGAUUCUUCGGUACUGUGGUGUGGCUAGGUAAGUGUAAGGGGUUUAUUUUCGUGUAAGUUAGGGAAUCGUUUCGAUCCUUUUCUUUUCAGUAAUGUGGUUUUGCACUGUUGGUAGCAAAUCAGGAAGAACGAAUUUCUCCUUUUAUGGAAUCAUAGUCGACUUUGUUCGAGAAGUUGGGUAAGUAUCGAACACUUGAAUGUCUUCGUUGUUAAUUUUCAUUGGCUCAGUUUAAUUGAGGAUUAAUAUUGAUUUUGGGAAUGAUUAUGUCAAUUUUAGGUUUUGGUGGUCUUGGGAGUGUUUUCACAUCAAAACUGAACCAGGUGUGUACUCCUAACGCGAAAAAUUGAGCAUCAGCAAAAGUCAAAACAGCAUUCUAUCGAUGCCACACGGGCGUGUGCCUGGCUGUGUGGUUGGCCAUGUGCUUGAUACGGGUAUGUGUUUAACGAAGGCAUGGUCGUGCGUAGGACACGGCCAUGUGAUGGUGUAAGUGUGACCGUGUGAUGGUGUGGGUGUGGCCGUGAGGGCCCACACAGGCGUGUAGAUUUUGAGCUAGGCCAUGUGGGCCACAUGAGCAAGGCUAAUUUGGGCAUGUGGGCCCAUAAUUCUAAAAUUUUCCCUAGGGUCGCACGGGUCAUUUUGAUCGACUGUGGGCCUACCAUAGAGUCGGUAAGGGCUAACCAAACCCUAAAUUAUAUGAUCUAAUAUUCUAAUAGUCUGUUCUAAGUAGGAUACUGAUAUGUAUAUUUGACUGUUCUAUUUAAGUAUAUAUGUUAUCUGUAUAUGAGCAUGUUAUACAUAAUGUUACUGUAUCUGUAUUUUGUAUCAUUGAUUGGGGUGGGAAUUGUAUAUGCAGAGGAAGUGAUCUGUAUAUCGAAUCUUCGCCUAUAUUCUGGUAGGUUGUUUGCAUAUUAUCUAUCUAUCAUGUGUUGCAUCGACGCUAUAUGCUGUGUAGGGAUCAGUGGGUGUUUUUAACCCCACAUGGUGUGAUGGGAUGCUCAGAGAUGGUGUGUAAAGGAUGGGGGUAGGAUUCUGGAUAUCUGCAUCUAUUAUGGACCUAAGUCCAAAUCUGUAGCUAUCUGUAUAUGAAAUUUCUAUGUAUAUUGUCUGCUUCUGUUGGGUUACACAUUGAGUUUACGAAAACACAUAUACGUUUUCUUGUUCUGUACAGGUAAUCCACAGACUUAGAUGGAUCAGUGCGACGGAGUCUCAUGGUGACCACAAGGGUGUGAAUUGACUUUAAAUAAUGGUUUUUAUUUAAUUAAAAAUUAUUUUUGGGAGUUUUGCAUUUAUUAGACUCUCCGGACUGUUUGGUUUUUAUUUGGUUUUGGAUGUAUUUUGAAUCUUUUAUUGGGACAUUUGACUAGAUUCACGGUUUUACAAAAAGAAAUGUUUUUUUUUUGAAAAUGCAAGUUGGAUUUUCAAAAUAUAACAGUUUUUAAGACUUCCACUGUAAAUUAUGUUUUGGCAAAUGAAUUAAUUAAAUAACGUUUUCAGUAAAAUUUAUAUCAACGAAAAUAGGUUAUAAAACUUGGAUAAUUUAUCGAACAACUCUACAAAGUUUUAUUGAAGUAACACUGAUUUCAAAACCCUUUUUUGUAACACUCCUGAAUUCAGCCAUAACGUCUAGGCCGGGUUAGGGGAGUUACAUUUAGUGGUAUCAAAGCCAAGUUGCAAAACUCGGGCUAUAAAUUUUGAGUUUUUAAUUGUGUUUUGAAAAAGAACUGGUUUUUAAAUAACUUGAAUCAUUUUUAGCAAAUGUGUGCUACACCGAGUCUUGGGCACUGAUCUUGUAAGUAUUUCUGAACUUAGAUAGAACUUUUUGAAAACACUGUAGUUCGUACUUUCUAAAACUAUACUAAGUUAGUUAGAGACUAAAACAUCUAAAAUACUUUUGGAACUUCUGAAAACUUGAGCGUAAAAUAUAUGUUAAUAAACACUGGAACUGAUUCAAAAAAAUUUAUAAUGUAGAUACAUUUGAAAAUACGAUGAGCGCUCGUGGUAUUCGUGGGCGCGGAGGGUGCCUUAGGGGGCUUUAACUGAGUAUUCUUUUCUAGGCAGUAUGCCAAAAUUAGACACGAGUGAGACACCGGUUUCACCUGCUAUUGAGACUGGGUCUCAAAGACGCUUGGUUGGGGACGACGAAUUGUCUCAAGCCAUGUUGAGAGUGUUAGAGUAGGUCGCUAGACCCUAUUCUAGAUUUGGGGACUGUGGGUUGAUAACUGAACAACUAUAGUCCAAUAGAGCUGAGUUGUUUAGAGAUGUCACUGGAGUCACCCCUACUAUGGCCGAGUAUUAGUUGGAAGCCAUUGAGAGGAUUAUGAAUGACAUCGACUACACUCCUGAACAGAAAUUAAAGGGUGCAUUUUUUACUUUGCGAUGAGGCAUAUCAGUGGUGGUUGUCAGUUGAGGAGGGUACUCAACCUGAUUGUAUGAACUAGGAUUACUUUAAGGCUGCCUUUCAAGGAAAAUAUGUGGGGGCAAGUUAUGUUGAGGCUCGUAUGUGUUAGUUCAUGAAUCUCAAACAAGGUGAUAAAUCUAUGGCCUAGUAUGAAGCCGAGUUUCUAAGAUUAAGCCGCUACGCUCGAGGCAUGGUAGCAUCUGAGUAUGAGAAAUGUGUCCGUUUUGAUGACGGCUUGAGGGAUAGUCUAAAGGUAUUGAUUGCUCCAUAGAGGGAGUGAGAGUUUGAAGUUCUUGUGGAUAAGACAAAGAUUGCUGAGGAGGUUAAGCGCGUGGAGUGCCAGAAUAGAGAUCGAGAUAGAGGCAAGAAUAAGAGGGAUUCAGAGCCCUCUAGUUCUGUUCAGAGGCCUAAGAAACGGGUAAGACCUAAUGGGCCUAUUAGAGUGGGGGUUCCUGUUACUCUUACUGGGAUUCAGCCUUGUGGUGAUUGCGGUAGGUGCCAUCCGGGUGAGUGUUGGAGGAGAUUAGGGGCUUGCCUAUGGUGUGGGUCACUAAAGGACUGGAUUAGAGAGUAUCUAUAUUGUGCGGAUCAAAUGCAAGCUUUAGGACCGAGUUCUGUUCAUCCUUAGAGGGCAGUAUAGCAGCCAUCUAGGGGUCGUGGACCGACUAAGGGUGGUAAUAGUUUGGGUCGAGGACAGAGAGCACCAGGCAGAGGUGCUAAUCAGACUGAGGUGUGGGAACCUGCAUUAAUUUAUGUUGCCAUAUUCUUUAGCUUUUAUUUUUAUUUUGUUAUCUUUUUCUCUCACCUCCAAAAAUCCCCAAAUUUGACAUUUUCCCUUCCUGUUAAUUGGAAAAAUCCCGUUUUCCCUUGCCUUCUAAAUUAUGUCGCAAUCUUGUCGGCCAAUCUUGGUAUUUUGAUUCUUCGGUAUUGUAGUGCAACUAGGUAAGUGUAAGGGGUGGAUUUUCGUGUAGGUUAGGGAAUCGUUUUUCUUUUUCACUCUUUAACUGUUCUAAACUAUUUCAAUCCUUUUCUUUUCGGUAAUGUGGUUUUAAGUUGUUGGCAGCAAAUCAAGAGAAACGAAUUUCUUCUCUUACAAAAUCAUAGUCAGCUUUGUUCGAAAAGUUGGGUAAGUAUCGAACACUUGAAUGUCUUCGUUGUCAAUUUUAAUUGGCUCGGUUUAAUUGAGGAUUAAUAUUGAUUUUGGGAAUGGUUAUGUCAGUUUUGGGUUCUGGUGGUCUCAUGAGUGUUUUUGCAUCAAAACCGAACCAGGUGUGUACUCCUAACAUGAAAAACUGAGUAUCGGUGAAAGCCAAAAAAGUAUUCUGUCGACACCACAUAGGCAUGUGCCUGGCCAUGUAGUUGGCUGUAUGCAAUCAUGGCCAUGUGUUUGACGAAGGCAUGGUUGUGCGAAGGACAAAACCCUGUGAUAGUGUGAGUGUGGCCAUAUGGGCCACACGGGCUAGGCCAGAUUGGGCAUGUGGGCCACACAGGCGUGUGGGUUUUGGGCUAGGCCAUGUGGACUACACAAGCAAGGCCAAUUUGGGCAUGUAGGCCUACAUGGGCAUGUGGGUCCAUAUUUUUGAAAUUUUCCCUAGGGCCGCACGAGUCGUUCAGUUCAAUUGGAGGGCUACCUAGGGUCGGUAAGGGCUAACCAAACCCUAAAUAUGUAAUCUGAUAUUCUAAUAGUCUGCUCUGAGUAGAACACCGAUAUGUAUAUCUGACUGUUCUGUUUAAGUAUAUAUGUUAUCUGUAUAUGAGCAUGUUAUGCAUGAUGUUACUGUAUCUAUAUUUUGUAGUGUUAAUUGGGGUUGGAAUUGUAUAUGCGAAGGAAGUGAUCUAUAUGGCGGCUCUUCGCCAAUAUUCUGGCAGCUUGUCUGCAUAUUAUCUGUCAUGUGCCGCAUCGACACUAUAUGGUGUGUAGGGAUUGUCGAAACCAUUUUUUUGAAAUCGAUUUUUGGUUUAAAAAAUAAAAAAUGGGAGUCGCCACCAAUCAUUUUUCUUGAGGUGUGAUCGGAUCACCUCGUAAAUUUAUCAUUUUUAAUAAGUGGCUUGAUUUACUAAUUUAACGAUUUUGGUCUACAAAAUUCAAGAAGUGGGUUCGGGAGUCGGUUACGUACGAAGAAGGAUUAGUGCCCUCGUAACGCCCAAAAUUGAUACCUAAUUGAUUGAUUAAUGUAUUAAUGUCAAAAGUUGAAAACUCGAAAAGAAUUUAAAAAAUGAUCCCUCUUUACGUUAAUGUAUAUAUUUUUUAGUAAAAUCCCAUAAAUAGAUCAAAACAUAUGUAAAAGGCUUUCUUAUCUUGAGGUAACAAAAGGUCGCAUCUCGUAAGUUAGGACACGACAUCUCGAAUUCUUGAAAAUAAGCUUGCCUUUUAUUUUUUUAUAUUAAAUCUCACGUAUUUUAAUUUUAAAAGGAUAUUUGGUCAUUUAGAUUCAAUGAGAAAAUCAAAAACCCCAUCAGUUAGGGCACAACUCAUCGAAUCUCCAAAUAUGAAAUAUUGCCUAUUUUUAAAACUUCCCCUUUUUUAUAAUAACAUAUGUAAAAUUUAAAACGAAGGGUAUUUAUCUUAUUUGGGGGUAUAGUAUAAAAUCAACUAUGGGUAAAUAUAUUUAAACGUGAUUCAUGACAUGAUUUUCAUGAAAUAAGAUAAAAUGGUAAUGUAGAAAAUAGAACGAUGAUAUACAAAUAAAAUGUCGCGCUAAUAAAUGACAAUAAUAUGAAUAUACUAAUAAAACAAUUCAUAAUACAUAUAAUGGCGAUAAUCACAUAAUAUAUACUACUUUAAUACUAAUAUGAACAAUCAAAGGAAAAAAAUAAAUAAUAACAAUGAUAAUAAUAAUAAUAAUAGUGACAAAAUAUGCACAUAAAAAAGAUACCAAUUUUAAUAUAAUAAGGACAAGGAAAUAAAUAAAUAAAAACAUAAAUAAAUAAAUAUGGAGGAAAAUAGUUUUAAAAAUAUUGAAAAUAAAAGACCAAAUUAAAACGUAAUUGAAAUUAAGGGUGCAAUUUGUAAUAAAAUACAUAAAUAAAUAAUAAAUAAUAAUAGUGAGAAAAAAGGAAAAAACACAAAAAAAUAGAUAAAUAAAUAAAUACAAAGGAAAAUAAAAUAUAAAAGAUCGAAAGUAAGGACUAAAUCAGGAUCUAAACAAAAUUUAAAGUAAAAAUCAUAAUAAAAUAGACAAAUUAAACAAUAAAAUAAGGUAAGGAAUUAAAAUCAAAUGCACGAAGGAAAGACAGGGAUCAAUUAGGCAAUAAUCCCCUUAUCCCUUAAACGCAAUGUUCCCUAGAGACUAAAUAGUUAGAGGACGAAAAUAAAAAAAAUAACAAAAUCAAAUGGGUAAAUUAAAAAAAAGAAAAAAAGCUAAAAUAAGGACCAGAUUGAAAAAGAGCCCAAAAGUGGAAGGACUGACAAGGUAAAUAGACCCUUAGUCCAAAAACACGCGGAUCCUAACGGGCCUUGGGUCAGAUCUCGGGUCAAAAACCAAAACAACACCGUUUUGGGGCUAUUGGAAUCAGCCCUAAAAUGAUGUCGUUUUACAAGGCCUAUAAAAGCUAAAAAAAAAUUAAAAAUUUCAUUCUGCACCGUUUCUUAAAAAAUUUUGAGAGCUCUCUUCGCUCUUUGGUCCCUUCUGAGCUCCAGCCAUCGGCGACAGCGCCGCUAUCCACAGUGGCCAAAAAGUCCAAAAGCUCCGUUUUCGACCCCUUUUUGAAGGAAAAGCCUUCUCUUCUCAAAAAAGUCUAAAAAUAACAAAAAAACCUUCGAUUCUUCUAUGACCGUAGCGUCAUCCAUUCCAACGGACCCUAAACCAAACCCUAAUGGGUUCUGGGCUUUCGACGCCAGGGAGAACCUUCGAUGACGGAGGGAGACGAAGUAUCCCAGGUAAGUCUUUUUUUAUUUUAUUUUAUAGAUAUAUAAAAAAUAAAAGAUUUAAAAGAUUAAAAGCAUAAAAAAUGUCACCUUUUUUUUUAAUCUAUAUGCGAUUACUACAUUUUUUGUAUUCGAUUUUUCUCUGUAAAUAAUAAAAGCUAUUUUCGGGGCUUUUUAUAGCUAAAUAGUUACAUUUGAUUUUAUUUACUACUGUUUAUGCUUUCGUUUCUGCUAUUGUUUCUCUACUCUGUUUUUGCUUUCUUUUCUGUCUUUUUUGUAGGCAUUGGCAAGGUCAACGGAGUUGUGCCUUGCCAUUCUAGUGCAAGGGAGGCAGACCUCGAGUGGUAGGCAUGCUGACACGGCACGUGGAGCGACGGAGCGGCUGGAUUAGGGUUUAGAUUCUGAAAUUUUUGUUUAUGCUGUGGGGUAGGUUUUUUUUAUUUUGGGCUUCUUUUUUUUGUUGUCUUUAGGCUUGUAAAAUUGGACUAGACUUGUUAAUUAUUUUUAUUUUUAUUUUGUUUGUUUUGGUUUUUUGGUUGCGCCCGGGCAAAUUUGGGCAUUUACAAGGACGGGUGGGUGUUUUUAACUCCACAUAGUGUGAUAGGAUGGUCGGAGAUGGUGUGUAAAGGGUAGGGGUAGGAUUCUAGAUAUCUGCUCAGUUUAUCUGAUUCCGUUAUCUACAUCUGCUAUGGACUUAAGCUCGAAUCUGUAUCUGCUCGUAUAUGAGAUUUCUGUGUACAUUGCAUGUCUACUUCUGUUGGGUUACACACUGAGUUUACGAAAACCAACAUAUGUUUGUUUGUUAUGUAUAGAUAACCCACAAACUUAGACGGAUCAAUGCGAUGGAGUCUCAAAGUGACCAUAAGGGUGUGAACUGACUUUAAAAAAUGGUUUUUAUUUAAUUAAGGAUUAUUUCUGGGAGUUUUGUAAUUAUUGGACUCUCCGAAUUGCUUGAUUUUUAUUUGGUUUUGGAUGUGUUUUGACUUUUUUAUUGCGAUGUUUGAUUAGAUUCAUGGUUUUGCAGAAACAAAUGUUUUUUUUGAAAAUACGAGCUGGAUUUCAAAAAUAUAACGGUUUUUAAUACUCCCGCUAUAAAUUAUGUUUUGGCAAAUGAAUUAAUUAAAUAAUGUAUUCAAUAAAAGUUAUAUAAACGAAAGUGGGUUAUAAAACUUGGAUGAUUUAUCAAACAACUAUACAAAGUUUUAUCGAAGUAACACUGAUUUCAAAACCCUUUUUUGUAACACUCCCGGAUUCGGCCAUAACGUCUAGGCCGGGUUGGGGUGUUACAUUAGCUUUUUGUUCCUUUUAUUUUUCAAUAAAAUUUCAUUCCAUUAAAAUUAUUUCUUUUUUCCCAAAAAGUGUGAGCCACUAAACUCAUCUAGCCAAAGGUUAUCAAGACUCCUCCAAAAGAGUUCAUGAGGCUUAGAAUCCGCAUUUAGCCUUCUCAACGAGUAUUCAUCAUUUCUUCGCAUUAUGGGACUAACGCUUCCGUCUAUGUCCUUCCAAAAGUAAUCUUUUCAUCUUGAGCAAGGAACGACCAUUUUGUAUGUUUUAGGAAGGUUGCACAGUCAAUUCGUUCAAUUUUUGCGUCAAAAGUUAUCGAGCCCAAAAGACAAAAUGGCUUGGCAUUCGCCAUUGAGAAAUGAUGAUCUAGUGUAAGACGGUCCCGCAAAAGUGACGGUUGGCUAGAGUCAGGUUCCUCUAGAUUGUAAGGUUAUAACCUAAGUAGAGCUAGUGGUCGUAGGUGUCCUCUACCACUAUAACUGACUUAUUCGGUCAUGAGAAGGAUCACCUAAAAGCCAAUAAUUGAACCAAAAGAGGAUCGAGAUAACCGAAGGCUGGAAUCCCUCAAAUCAAAGAAUCCUUUUCCUUAAUUUUGUUUCUUUUUACAAUUUCAAUUCAAAUUUAUACAAUUUCAACUCGUCUAUAUUUUUAAUUCUAUUUUUUAUUUUUCCCAGGUACGCCGUUUUUCUUGGGCACGACUGUGCCCAGGAUUUCGAGGAACAAGAAGUUGUAGCAAUCCAAUCCCUCAGGAUUUGACCCUACUUCCCUUAUACUGUUAUCUUCGUUAUUUCAUAGGGAUGGGUUAUUUUUUGUACUUUCAAUGACACACCAAAUUUUUGUGCUCUAGGAAUUCUUGCAUUCAAUUCAGAAAUAGAAAAAACUAUGAGAGCUAAUCGCAAGGAUACGAAGCUAUGAAAAGAGCAGUCAGAGGUGGUAGAAACUCAGAGUAACCCACCGCCAGAAAUAGAAGCAAGCGACAACGUUGAGUCUAGAGUUAACAAAAACCCUACUCAAACACUAGAGAAUGAAAGAAUAGGAGUCGAUCCACCAGAAGAAGUGUCUAACGUAAACAUGAAUCUAGAACAACAACUUAUGGCUCAAACGAUUCGGCAAAUGGCCGAAACUCCUACAGAACAACAAUCGUUAUGCAUUGCGUAUCCUACUACGGAUAUUAACUUUGAACUGAAGUCAAGAUUAAUUGAGUUACUGCCAACCUUUCAUGGAUUGGAAAAUAAAAAUCCACACAAACAUCUAAAAAAAUUUUAUAUGCUUUGUCUUAGUAUGAAACCUCAGGGCGUAACUGAGGAUAAAAUCAAAUUACGUGCUUUCCCUUUUUCCCUAGCUGGUUCUGCUAAGGAAUGGUUAUUUUAUCUACCUCCUGGAUCUAUCACUACUUGGACUGGUCUUUCCCGUUUGUUUCUCAACAGAUUUUUCCCAGCCUCGCGUGCAGCUGAGUUAAAGAGGGAGAUUGUUGGGUUAAGCCAAAGAGAUGUAGAGUCUCUUUACGACUAUUAAGAGAGAUUUAAGAAGUUGUGUGCGAGUUACCCACAACAUGGGAUAACAGCACAGUCUCUGCUCCAAUACUUCUAGGAGAGCUUGAAGCCCACAAAAAUGAAUAUGAUAUAUGCCGCUAGUGGAAGAGCAUUAGUUAACAUGACCCAUCAGUAGGCAAGGGACUUGAUCUCCAUGAUGGCUACAAAUACACAACAAUUUCGAGCCAAUCCUGAAUAGUCUUACUGAUAUCAUGGAUUCUUUUUUUGUAGUAAAAAUAAGACCGACCCGACUAUGUAGAAUUUGUGCAACACCCGAACAUAAAAUAGACGCAUGCCCUAGUUUGUGUGACGAUAUUAUGGCUCAUUUGGAUGUUGUGGGGAAAUUUCUUAGACCACCCCAAAAGUGAUAUGACCUUUAUGCUAACCCAUGGUAUAACUAUGCAUAUCAAAAUCGGUUUCUACAACAAACGCGAGAUUCAAGUACCGCUCUAGAAACCAUGGAAAAUAAAUUAACAACUAACAUGCUUGAUUUUCAACAGAAAAUUGAGGCACCUAUAAGAGAGUUGACCACAUCAAUUGAGAAAAUGAACUCACAUGGAAAGUUCACAUGGAAAAUGAACAGGUUCGAACGAAACCUCCAUUGCCCAAAAUUCAACCCCUAUUCCCAAGAUGAUUGAACCAAACCAAAAAGCUAAAGAGGACAAAGAGAUCCUCGAAACAUUCAAAAACAUUGAGAAUAACAUAUCGUUUUUGAAUACCAUCAAAUAAAUUUUGUGAUAUGCUAGUUCCUUAAGGAGCUUUGCACCAGAAGCAAAAAUUAACUGGAAAUGGAAGAGUAAGUGUUGGUGAAAAUGUAUCUGUAGUAUUGCAGCAUAGGAUGCUAGUAAAGUGUAAAGAUAGGGGCAUGUUUGCAAUACCAUUCAAAAUAGGUUGCUUAGGAAUCAAAAAGGCUAGGUGUGAUUCAGGGCCCUCCAUAAAUGUAAUGCCUUUUUCCAUUUAUGAAUCACUUAAUGUGGGCUUUUAUAAAAAUAGGUGUUAUCAUUCAAUUGGCAAACAGGUCUAUUGUGCAUCCGAAAAGAGUUCUUGAGGAUGUAUUAAUGAAAGUCAACGGACUUAUGUUUCCCGCAAACUUUUAUGUAGUGAAAAUGGGAGAUGAUAACACUCUUGGGUCUUCGGACAUCUUGCUGGGGCAACCUUUCCUUAGUACCGCUAGCAAUAAUAUUGACGUGCAUAGCGGAACCCUCAUGAUGGAAUUUGACAAGGAGAUCGUGAAGUUUAACAUUUACGACGCUAUUAGUCACCCAAGUGAAAUCUUGAACGUAAAUCAUGUCGACCUAAUUCACUCAAUAGUUUGGAGAAACUUUUGAGUCACCUUAUGAAGUUAAACUUGAAAAGUUGUUUGAUGAUUUUGAUUCAGGAUUUAUUUGUGAAUCUAUUAGUGAAUUGUUGUCUCCUAUGAACACUAAACUUCUACCUUCUAUUGUACAGGUACUAGAUUUGGAAUUGAAACCACUUCCCGAGCAUCUCAAAUAUGCGUUUCUAAGGAAAGAUAAUAGCUUACCGAUCAUAUUUUUAAAUAGACUCUCCAAGCUUGAAUAGAAAAGUUUGAUACAAGUACUAAAAAACCAUAAUGAGGCAAUUGGCUGGACCAUCACUGACUUAAAAGGAAUAACCCCCUUGACAUGAACACACAAGAUUUACUUGGAGGAAAACACGAAACCAAAGCGAGAGGCGCAAAGAUGAUUGAACCCAAAUAUGAUGGAUAUGGUAAAAAAGGAAAUAAUUAAGUUGUCGGAUGCUGACAUAAUUUACCCCAUUUUUGAUAGUAGAUGGGUAAGUUCAAUGCAAGUCGUGCCCAAGAAAACAUAUGUGACAGUAAAGAAAAAUGCUAAGGGUGAUCUGGUACCAACCUGAGUGCAAAAUGGGUGGCAUGUCUGCAUUGAUUACAGGAAGUUGAAUUCUUAUACUAGAAAAUAUCAUUUCCCUCUUCCUUUUAUAGAUGCUUGAAUGUUUAGUUGAAAAACUCAUUUUUGCUGUCUUGAUGGAUACUCAAGUUUUUUCCAAAUUCUAGUUGCACUAGAGGACCAAAAAAUACCAUUUUCACAUGCCCAUUUGGCACAUUUGCGUACAAGAAGAUGACAUUCAGGCUUUGUAACGUGCUGGUCACCUUUCAAAGAUGCAUGAUGAGUAUAUCUUCUGAAUAUGUAGAAAACAUUAUCGAUGUUUUUAUGGAUGAUUUUACUGUGCAUGGGAACUCUUUUGAUGAAUGCCUUAAAAACUUUACGAUAAUUUUAAAUAGAUGCAUAGCAUUUAAUCUUAUCUUGAAUUACGAAAAGUGUCAUUUUAUGGUAGAUAAUGGAUUAAUUCUAAGACAUAUAGUUUCAGCUAAAGGGAUUGAGGUCGAUAAGGCCAAAACUGACAUUAUAAAUACUUUGCCAUAUCCCUCAACUAUAAGGGAAAUCCGUUCUUUCCUUGUCCAUGCAAGGUUUUAUAGGCGCUUUAUAAGAAACUUCUCAAAAGUAGCUGAACCACUGUGUGAGUUGUUACAAAAAGAUAAGAAAUUUGAGUUCAGCCCAAAAUGUAAUGAGGCUUUUGACACACUCAAACAGAAGUUAGUUUUUGCUCCUAUAGUACAAGCACCAAAUUGGAACUAUCCCUUUGAAAUCAUGUGCAAUGCAAGAGAACAAAGUGUGGGAGCCAUGUUGGGACAAAAGAUAGAUAGAGAGGCCCAUGUCAUUUGUUAUGCCUCAAAAACCCUAGAUGCUGCACAAAGCAACUAGACCACCACAGAAAAAAACUUUUGACUAUUAUAUUUACUUUGAAUAAAUUUUGGUCUUAUCUAUCGAGAUCUAAAGUGGUUAUUUAUUCUGACCAUGCAACUCUUAGUUAUUUGAUCACAAAAAAGGAGGUGAAACCAAUACUCAUUAAAUGGAUUUUACUGCUCUAAGAAUUCGACAUCGAGAUUUGAGAUAAGAAGGGAUGCGAGAACUUGGUGGCUGACCACUUGAAUAGGAUAAAAACACCUUGUGACGACACUCAUAUAAAGGAUGAGUUUCUUGAUGAGGGCCUAUUUUUGGCUAAAGAGUAUUUCUCAUUGUAUGCGGAUAUGGUAAACCUCAUUGCUACAGGUUUAUUACCCACAUAUAGCCUUAAAACAUCAAAAGAUUUGUGGUUUUGUAACCCUGCCUUAGGUUACGUACACUAUUAUUUGGCUUACAAUUUUUCGGGCCAGAGAGAUGCGCCGGCUACCGUCUCGAAGAUGAAAUUAUUUUUAAUAUGAUGUAUGUACACCGGUUGUCUGGUAAAUUUGGGCUAUUGGUAUGCGCUUCAAUUUGAACAUAUUAUAAAUGUCAAACGCCCUCUAAUUUUAGGCUCUUUUGUUACACAACAAUUAUUCUCUUUACAUGGCUCUAAUGUUCCUAUUUCGGACUUACAUAUUGCUUGCCAAGCCGAUCCAUUAGAUGCUUACUGUCUCGACUCUAUGCGAUUGCUUCUUGGCACUCCUUCUUCCUUCCGUUUUGUCCUUCUAGGAAUCUGAGCUUCACCGGCUAAACGAAUCUUUAGGUAGCAAAAUUAGCAAAAGGUACCCCAAGCAAAACCAACCUUCCAUAACCAUCGAACAACGUUUGGAGUGCAUUGAAGCUCGGCUGGACACUUUCGGUCAGUAGAUAGCUGAUCUCAUUACAGCUAUACAUGAACGACGGUAACUACAUAGAGAUUUUUUCUAAACCCUUUUUCUUUCAUAUAUUUGUUUUUUCACAUCAAGGACAAUGUGUUUUAAGUAUGGGGAGGCAUUCCUCUUUGUUUUUGUUGUUUUAUCUACUGUUUUGUUACUGUUGCUACUGCCUUAUAUUUGUUUUUGCCUACAUUUAUUUAUUUUUAGUCUAUCUUGACCCUUUUCAUGCCCAAGAUUUUGACCAGGAAUUACCCAUUGUUUGACCUGCGAAUCAUGAUUCUUGUCUACUAAGUUAGUUGUGAUUUUACUAUAUUGAUUUCAUCUCCACUGUUUUAUUUCUAUUAAGCUAAAAUAAUUAUGAUUAAUCAAGUUAAUCCUAUCUUGCUUAUAGUAAAAUCAAUUAAGUCUAAAUGCAAAGAGGACACUUAAUAUGAAUGUAUGCCAAAUUUAUUUUCAUGACUGAUAGGUAAUUGCCAAAACUUAUUUUGACAAUUGAUUUUGUUUCACUAGAAAACAAAAUAAAAUAAAAUCUGAUGAUUUUGUGGUUAUGAGCACAGCUUAAAACGUGACUGACAGAGUAACCGGGGUAGGGUGCUUGGAUUGUUAUCCUACUUCGCGUCAAAAGGUUGUGUGAUGUGUUAGGUAUAACUCUGCUAACCGAAAUUUAAAAAAAUUAAGAGUGUGUUGGGCUAAGUAACCGGGGUGGGGUGCUUGGGUUGUCAUUACACUUCGCAUCAAAAGGGCCAAACAUUCUUAAACAUUAAAAAAUAAUAAUAAAAUAAUAAAUAAAUAAAUAAAAAAGAACAUCUGGGGACUAAGGGUGGAACAAAUAAUCCAAGUCUAUUUACUUUUUGUGUGUUUAAGUUGAAGUACAUUUCGGUUUUACUUAAAGCAAGCUAAAGGUUUUCUUUAUUUUCAUAUGUAUUAUGCCUAAUUUUUAUAAAACUUUGGAGUGAUACUUCUUUCAUGGAAAAAUCUAAAUUACACAGUGGGAUAGGAACCAUACUUGAGGGCAAGCCUGGGCUAAGUAGGGGGAAUAUGAUAAUACUUUAAAAUGACAUACUUUUAUGUGUUAAUUGCAUAUAUAUAUUGAGUAUGCUCCUACUAAUUUGGGCUUUUUAUGGUUUUUUUAUCUUGUAGGGACUAAAUUGAAAGCAAAUGGAUGUUUGGGGGAAAAAAGUGUGAAUUUAAAGACAAAAUGGGUCAAAAUACGAAAUAGGGAAGAAAUGGUGCGAAAAUACAAAAUGCAAAAGACUUGGGGCAAAAAUUUAAAGAAGAGAUUUAUGAACAGAAAACUCUAUUUAAAUUCGAAUUUUACUUUUAGGAUUAUUGUUAGGAUUAUUAUGAUAUUAUUUAGAUUUAAUUUUAGAUUAUAUUUUAUUUUUAGGAUUAUUGUACUAUAAAUAGGGGAUGGAGUGACAUGAAUAUUCACUCAUCAUUUUUUGUAAAAAAAACUCCUUCUCCCUAAUGCUCUUAGCUUUUUGUUCCUUUUAUUUUUCAAUAAAAUUCCAUUCCAUUAAACUUAUUUCUUUUUUCCCGAAAAGCAUGAGCCACUAAACUUAUCUGGCCAAAGGUUAUCAAGACUCCUCCAAAAGAGUUCUUGAGGCUUAGAAUCCACACUUAGCCUUUUCAACGAGCAUUCAUCAUUUCUCCGCAUUACGGGACUAACGCUUCCGUCCAUGUCCUUCUAAACAUAAUAUUUUCAUCUUGUGCAAAGAACGAUCGUUUUGUAUGUUUUGGAAAGGUUGCACAGUCGGUUUGUUAACUUUCUGCGUCAGAAGUUGUCAAGCCUAAGAGACGAAAUGACAUGGCAUUUGCCAUUGAGAAACGAUGAUCUAGUGUAAGACGGUCCCACAAAAGUGAUGGUUGGCUAGAGUCAGGUUCCUCUAGAUUAUAAGGCUAUAACCUAAGUGGAGCUGGAAUAGAUCAAAGUUAUGAGUUUUGGAUUUUCUUCAAGGGCAUAGAACUUGACUUAAAGAUAUUAUUAACUUACAGAAGAAGCAUGUAAUGAUCUAACAUUUUUUUGGUUUUUUCUAUUUUUAAUUUGUUAUCGGAAUCUAUUGAAUGAUAAUUUUAUUUAUUUCUCGUACAUAUUAGUUCUUCAACAAAAUAUUUUCAAGAUUUUAUUUCUUAGAAUUUUCUAUUUUUUUAAUAAUUUUGAGUUUUGUUAUUCUCUAGUUUAAUAAUUUUUUAUUUGUUAUAUUUUUUUAAUAUAAAAGUUGAGGACUAAAUUAUUAUUAUACCAACUAAAAAAGUACCAUUUAACAGUCGGGUUAGCAAUAAAAACAAUCUCGAAAAUGUUAGUGACUAAUGGUAUAUUUUAAAAAGGUACCAUUUUUCAAUUAAUCAAAAUGAAAACUUACCCAUAGUUUAGUGACUAAUGGUAUAGUUUUCCCAAAAGUAAUCAACUAAACUAAUAAUUUUAACAAACCGGGAGGCCUUGUAUUAUUUGGCAGAGGUUGUGGAUUAACAUCUGAGGGACUUGGACUAGCAAGCUCGUUGUCCAUUAUUAUUAUUUUUAAAAAAAUUUAUUAAAGCUUUCCUUAAUUAUUUUUUUUGGGAUUAUAAUUAUGAAGUAUUUUCUUGCCUUUGUAACUUAGGUUUGAAAUGGUCCAGCUUAUUUAUUUUAAGCAUAUGUUUAGUUAAAUUCUGAUAUUUGCAUGCUUUUCGGUUUAGAAAAUUAUUACCUUAAAUAUUUUCUACUGCUUUAUAAGUACUUAAUGUUUUGAUAAAAAAACUCUUUAAAACUUAACAUUUUUCUAAAAAUUUCACCUCGAUAAAUAUCAUAAUUGAAUUGUUAAGUAAGGCCAGUUUAAAUUAAUAUAUUUUCUAAAAAUAGAAGAGUAAUUUUCAUACAAAUUCACUCGAGUAAAAAGAAUGACUUUACAGGAUCACUUUGGUGAUCAAUGUAACAUCUUCGACUUAGCCGAAACUCUUCGGCCGAGUCGGAGGUGGUACAUGAAAUAGCUAUAAUUUUACUUAAAAAUUUAGCCAAUAUGCUAUUAUAGAGAACAAAUUUAAUAAAGAAUGUAUUUCAUAACUAUGAAUGUUGAUGUUAUAAGUGAAAAGUUGUUAUAGAGGGUUAAAAUAAAACAUAAAAAAUCAAUUCUACUAGAAUUUUGGCUAUUAUAGUGAAAUGUUAUUAUAGUGGGUUAAAGAUGACUAAUUGUCUAUUAUAUUAUAUCAUUUGAUACAUUGUCAAUAGAAGUUUUAGACUCCACAAAUAAGGUCGGGUUACCAAAUAUUUUAUAAGAGUAUUAGCAAAAAAAAAAAAAAACAGAAAACAAUAUAAGCACGUGAAUGACUGAAUUUCGGCUAGUAUAGAAUGUUGGAAAGAAAUGGAAAAUUUAUAAUGUCGAUCCUUGUAUUAUAAACUAAAGAGCAACUUACUUCUUUAAGUAUAAAAAUGAGCAAUUUAUUCCCUUCGCAUUUAAUUUAACUUUGAAGACUAAACAAUAUUUUAAAAUGAAAUAAAAAAAUAUAAUGACUUAUUUGGUCCUCUAAUUUUAUAAAAAAUUAUUAUUUUAACUCUUUUUAUAACACUCUAUAUUCAGCCUAGACAUUACGGUCGAGUUUUGAGGAAUUACGUACGUUUAUUAAAAAUCCAGAAACUUGGAACUCCAAAACGUUUAGUAAAUCAAAACUUGAUAAUGAUAUUUCCAGUUUUUGAGAAAAAUUCAUUAAUCGAUUAAUUCAUUUAAAUUUCAGAAAAACAUUUAUAAGAUAACUUCUUGAAAUAGAAAUCUUAGAUUAACCGAAUUUUGGAAAAGUUGGUUUUGAAAUUCAAUGUUUGCAAUUCAAAUUAAAAAAAAGAGAGGUUAAAACAGUUCGCGUGAAAUAAAAUCCAAAACAUGAAACAAUCCCAAAGUCUAAAAAUACAGUCCAAUGGAAAAAAUAUCAUAAAAACUAAACAUAUUUAAAGGAGUUGUAAUUUUUCUAUAUCCGAACUCCGCCACAUCGAUCUAUCCUAAAUCUGAGUAUUACCUAAAAGCAAACAAACAGAAAGUGAGCUUAAGAGCUCAGUGUGUAACUUACGUCAAUUAACAAUUCAGACACAUAUGAAUUAACAUAUAAUAUACAGAAAUAUGCUUAAAUACAGAAUCAGAUACUUUCAUUUACAGAUGCAUAAACAGAUGUAGAGUCAAAUCUUAUCCUCAUUCACUACACAUCAUAUUCGAUCAUUCUUAUAACCCAUUUAGAAUAAUAAAUACUCAACCAACUCCACACACCACUAAAUGAUCGCAUGUCACUUUUUCGUAUGAUUUGAUUAUAAUUUAUUAUUCAAUAAUGAUGGACCGUAAUACAAAAAUUAAUAUAAUUCUUUAUUGAAAAAAAUAUUUUUAAACCUGAGGUUUUUUUAAAUAAUAAACCACUAAACCGGGACAACUGGGAUGAUAGUUUAUUAUAGUAAAAAGCCAUAAAAACUUUGUAAUCGAGAUGAUAAGUUAUUGUAGUAAAAGUCAUCAUUACAGAUGACAAGUGAAUGACCAUCGUCAUCGAAAAUCAAAUUCGAGAUAGUCAGUUUUUUAUAUGUGGGAUAGUGUGUCAAGCAAUGCUGGAUGGCAGCUAAAAUGGACGGGUGAAAAAUUUUGCAUUUGCAUUGCAUCAUACAUAUUUAAAUUUUGUAUAUGCAUUAAUUUGUAUGUUCCUUAUAUUAUGAAAAAAAAUAGGAACUUAAUUAUUUUAAAUAAUAAAAAUGAAAAUCUCAUUUUAAAAACAACUACUCCCUACUUUCUCAUUAUUCUCUUAUCAAUAAUAAUUAUUUAUAAAAAUUUAUUAAUUAACUUUUAAAUAAUUCAUCUUCAUAGUGACCUGCGAUGGCAAUGAGAUAGAGCGAGUCAAAUUUUCUUUUAACCCAUUUUAAUCGCAACUCGAUACUGUAUUGCCAUACCGUGAUCCCAGCCAAAAAAAAGUAACCAAGCCUAAAUUUGGCCCUGAAAAUUGAUAGAAAGCUCAACCCCGACCCAGUUAAAUUCGAGUUUUAUUUCACUCUCACGUUGUAUCACUUCAAAGCCAUCUAUUGAUAUGGAUUUAUCUUAUAAAUGGGUAUAGGAUGUAAACAUAAAACAAAAUGUAGUUAAUCUCUCGCAUUUAUUUCACUCUCACGUUGUAUCACUUCAAAGCCAUCUAUUGAUAUGGAUUUAUCUUAUAAAUGGGUAUAGGAUGUAAACAUAAAACAAAAUGUAGUUAAUCUCUCGCACGCACACAUUUUUGAGUUUAUAUCAAUGGAGAGGAAUUUAAACAUUCUGUCAUACUUCAAUGUUUAAGUAAAAAAAUACAUAAUGUUAAAACGCUUUGAGAAUUUUAAAAUCUUAACUUUUAAUUCUUAUUCUAUAUAAAUAUUAUAUUUCUUAUAUUUAAUUGUCAAGUUAUUCAAUUUAUAGUUGUUAAGUUAAUUAUUUAGUUUAGUAAUUAUUUGAAUUGUUAGUGCAGGAGUGGUAGCACGAGGCGCUGGUAGGGGGCUCAACUCUUUAAAAUUGGAAACUUAAAUUUGAAUCUUAAAAAUGAUAAAAUUAUAAUUUAUUCUUUAAAAAUUUAUAAUUAUAUUCUAGUUAUCAUAAAACUAUACAACUUAAUUGUCACAUCCCGAAAAUCGGAUUAGAAGAAAUUGAGCUAGUGAAACCAAAAGUGGUCACGUCAUGUUUUUGAAUUAAGUGUUGUGAAAUUUUGUUAAAUAAUUUGAUUUGGUUUAGUGGUUAAGUAUUUUGAUUUGUGUGCUUGAGGUAUUGUGUUCUAAUCCCUUCUUUUGAAUAAUUAUUAAUUUUUGCCCCAACCUUUAUCAAUGAACAUUUGGUUUAUAGAUUAUUUUUGUUUAAUCUAUGAUAGAAUGAGUCUACUAGUUCAGUAAUAAGGUCUUGUGUUUGAAUCUUGUUUGUGCAAAGCGGGAAGUAUUUUUGUUCUCUUACAUUGUGCAACCCAUGUGACACAAAGAAUUUGGGAUAAAUUCAAAUUCUAGGGAAAAUCUAAUAAGUGAGUAGUUAAGAGGAUAUUGGUAGUUUUUCUCCCCAAAAAUCUCCCACUACCACUCCCAUGUCCCUCAUUCCUCACUUUCUCUCUUUUUCUCAAUUUUUGUUUCCAGUUUACCUAUUAUUGAAAUUUUAUUUUCUAACAUCAUUUCUUUUGUUUCUUUUUUCUCUUUUGCGCACAUUACCAAUUUUUCUUUCUUCAUUGGAGAACUUAGGUGUAUUGUUUUUCUUUCAUUACUUUGAUUUAUCAUUUGUUGCCGCUUUGCUACGGUACAGACACUCAGUUUCUGUGUGGUGCUAUCAUUACUGUUGUGCUAUUUUUGUGUUGGGAAUCGUAUACUCUUUUAUUUCCUUAUUAUUUGUUAUGAACCGUUCUUUCAUGUGAAGGAUGAGUGGUUUAUUUUAUUUUAUAGCUUUGGUUGUAAUCGUUUGUAGGAAACUUUGUAGGUGGAAGAUGUGUGACAUUUACUCCUUCAGCAAAUAAUGAGCUUUAAGAACUAUUGUUUCUAUUUGUGGUAAGCGAUCGAUUGCCUUGUAGGGGUUCUUAUAGGUUGGGUAAAGGCCAAUUGCAUUUUUUGCUUAUGGUCAAAUUAAUGUUUGAAUUUUGCAUAUUGAUUGUUAAUUAGUUCAUUUGGAAUGUCGUUUUUAGGUGUUGGAAUCACGACUAUUGUGUCGGCAACGAAAAAAGAUCAAGUGUGUAACGAAAAUUUUGAAAAACAGUGAACAACGUGAAAUCGAAAAGUUGAUUGUUGACACCACACUGCCGUGUGCCAAACCAUGUGAACUGAUCUAAGUCAAUUGGAUCGUGUGGCCCACACGUCUCCUUAGGGUCGUAUUUGUUGUGUAAAUCAAAUUUAGCCUUCCAUAAGGUCUGUAUGGUAUAAAUAUGACUAUAAAUAUUGAUAUAUGAUGCUCUAUUUUUGUUUAAUGUGAAUUAUGAUCGCAUAAGAGGUAUGUUAUACGUUAUAGCAUGAUGCGUUUUAUGCUAAUGUGAUCUAAAAUCUGUUGUGAAUAGCAUGUAUGACAUUCACGCAUUCGAUAUCUAUUUAUUUAUGCAUGUACAUCGGGGUGGGUUUGAUUUGUGAUAGAGGAAGUAUAUUCUGGUAGUAUUACUGCAAUUUUGACGAUUAAACCGUAAUAUCUAUCUGGCAGCUUAGCUGCACCUUUAUGAGUGACAUACCAUUAUGACCCAAUGUGAUUGGAUGAAAGGACUCUUCCAGUCCUAAUUAUGACAUACCACCAUGACCCGAUGUGAUUAGAUGGAAGGACUCUUGUAGUCCUAAUUGGUGUGGUUGGUUGGACGGAGUUGGUGUGUAGCAAAUGGAGGUAGGAUCUGUGAUUGCAUUUUUUUCCGAAUCUCAAUAUGCAUCUCUAUCUGAUUAUGAAAUACAUCUUAUUCUGUAUAUGAGAAUAUGUUUGAAUUUGUAUCUAAAAAUGUAUUUGUUUAUUUAUGUAUAUCUGAUUUGUUGCUUGAGAUGUGUUACACAUUCGACUUUUAGCUCACCCAUUUGCUUAAUAUGGUUUAGAUUAUCUUCAGACUUAGGACCGUACGGCGUGCGGGAGCUCGAAUUGAUUUCUCACUUAAGUUCGUUUGAUUAUUUUUAAUUAAUUAAGUUUUUCAGACUUUUGGGUUUUUGAACUAAGUUUUCAGAUUUGGUUUGUUUUUCGGUUUUUGUUUUGGUCAUUGGUUUUUUCUUCUUUUUUUUGUAUUUUAAUACGAAACUACAAAAUCAUACGAUUUACUAAAUUUAGAAUUUGGUUUCUAAAAUUAAAACUCUAAAAUUUCCACUGCAAAACUAAAUAAGUCAUUAAGUGAUUUCACUGUAGGAUAAGUGUUCCAAACAUAAGAUUUGACUAAAAUCUGUAAGAAUUUUUCUGUGAAAUAAAUAAGUUCUGUGCACAAUUUCCAAAAUAACAUGUAAGAGAUUUGUUAAAAAUUAAUAUUUUCAAAUAAUGUUAUUACUAAAGUUAAAGAGCAAAUUUCUGAAAGUUUCCAUUGUUUUAUAAGUAAAUGUUUAAGAGUUUCCACUAUUUUAUAAGUCAAUGUUUAAGAGAUUGUGUUGUGAAAUAGAUGUUGUUAAACUUGUGAUUUUCCUGAAACUCGUAUAAGUUUAGUUAAAUUAAGAUUUUAGAUCAUACGAUUUCUAAGGUAGAUUUUACAUUGGUUUUUCAUAUGAGUUGUUGUAAUUUCUCCAGAUUUGGCUAUAACGUUUAGGUCGGGUUUGGGGUAUUACAUUAAUUCUAGCCCUUUUAAUUUUUUUUAGAUUUUCCACUAUAUUAAUAAAAUUAUAACUUAAAAACCUAAAUGAUUAAUAGAAAAGUUAACAAAGAGAAAACUAGCCGUAAUUUUAUUUCAAAUCAUAGUCAUUAUAUUGAGAUAUACAUUGGCGACAUUAAUUGGAUAUACCUUGGAAAAAACUUUUUCAUCACUUUAUGAUCAUUUUAAUUAUUUAUAUUUUUGCAAUUUUUUAAAAAAUAAAUUUAAAAUUUAUAGUUUCGAAAAGGUUUAAGUACAAUUUUUUUUCUUUUUUUUGCUCAAUCGAGUAACAUAACUCAAGGAAGACGUUGGAACCACCAAGUCUUUCAAGAACAAAAGAAUUACAACAAAGUUUCAUCAGACAAUCCAAAUCAAACACCCCUUCACAACAAUUACAAUAAUGACUUUAGCAAUUUCACCAUGAGGUUUUAAAAAGAGAAGAUCUCGAUAUACCUGCUUUUGCCAACGCGUCUACCAUACCAUUACUUUUUCGAUCAAUAAUCACAAUCUGAAAAUGAGCCAGUUGCUUAGUGCCACAGUCGAUGUCCCCAAUCAAUUUUCGUAAUGACCAUGGUCUAUAAUACCUUUUAGACAGCCAUUCCGAAGCAGCAUCGAGCAUAAUUCGAUUAUUAAUGGAACAUGCACCUUCCUACUCACUUCAAUAUACAUAUCCACUCCUAUUUUAAUUGCCAUUAUUUCUGCCAAAUUCAUUCCCCUAGCUUCAACUCGCCCCGAAAAUAAAGCACAAGCCACCCCUUUUUAAUCUCUCAAAACUCCACCACACCCUGCAACCUCCUCUAAAACAACACCAGCCACAUUGAAUUUCAUCCACUCGGUUGGAGGUGACUCCCAAUGGGAAACAAUCAUGUUUUUCAUAUUCAAUAAGGGGCGACAUUUUACUAGCCAAGACCACCAAUCCCCUUCCAAAAAUUGGCAUUCUUCAUGCACUGCCCUAGCCCACAUCAAAGCUCUUAUUUUAGAGUGGAACAACAUUAUAUCAAGAUUUUUCGAUGCCCUUUCAAAUACGUUGUCGUUCUAAACUAACUGUUGGAAAAAACACGUUAGCGAACAAAAUAAUUAAAUAUAAAUAAACACAUAUAAAAUAAAAUAUAAAUAGAAUGAUUUAUAUUUAAUUUAUCAAAUAUGAAAACCAAUAAAAAUCGUAACAAAAGUUGAAACCAAAAGAAAGAAUAGAGAUUUUACUAAACGUUGAGGCCUAUUAAAAACAGUUUCCUUAAGACGGAUUCGGCUACUCCUACGGUAGUUGGAGAAACAUUGGUCGAAUGUCUCCCAGGAUACAACAACAACAAUGAUCAAAGCAGUAGCACCUCUGCAGCAAUCAACAAACGAACAUUGCCUUUUUCUAUCACCAGAACGUUUGAAAAAUCAAAGAAUAAAAGAAGAGUUUUGAGAGCAAUAGAAAAUCGGUGUGAGAGUGUGGAAAAUAAGCAAAGAAACCUUAGCCUUUUAUAAACAGAUUAUGUCCUGAGAAAAAUAAAUUCGUGUUGGGCUAAAAUAUUCUUAGGCCCAUUUUGGGCCCAACUGGUCCAAACAUUUCGCAUUGCCCACGUCGUGUGCGCCCCAACCCCAUUGGGUUUGGACCUGCACCCCCUAUGCACGAGGCAGGAUUCCAAACUUAGUCAUUCAAUCACCCUUUAAGAGGGUUCCCAUAUAUAAACACAUCUCACACUUGGUAUUUAACCAAUGUGGGAUCUAAGCCUUUAUUUUUCCUCAACAAAUAUUUCCAAGCAGCUUACUUUGAGCAUCAAUUUCUCAUUCAUCACUCAACCAUUUUGAGCAUAUGAUAUAUCGUUGUAAAGGUCUCAUGGAGUAGAAUAUGAAACCAUAAUUUUAUAAUUUAACUCUCCACCUUUACCUAUUGAAGAUAUGCCUCAAAGUUCCCAUAAUAUGUAUUUUUUCCAACAAUCCCCCACAUGAAUGAAAAUUGAUAGUUUUAUCGAAAAACAUUGACUUGAUGUGGUGAUAGAACCUACAAUCAAUAGUUGCAUAGGAUAGGUAGGUAUCCACCCUUGAACCUUCCCUUGUGAAAGUAUAUUUACUUUACUAGCUGACCAGUAGACGUGAUGUCCUUGAAAUGUUCUGUCUUUUGUGUAAACGAUGAUAUACCUCACACAACUACCUCCUUGGCAAGAUUUUAGUUCUCAUGGGUAUGUUCAUAUAGCCGUGAACAUCUUUUAGUUCUACAAGAUUUUGAGAGAACUAUGCCCCAAUAGUCUUCUCGAAGCGGCCCCACUUCACUCUCACAUAGGUGACUUAUGUUGUUUGACUCAACAAAAUACACGAUGGUCAUUAAAAGCAUUACUUAACCUCUCCCAUUUUUAGUCACUAUUUACAUCAUAGGAACAGACUUGGGAUAAGUACCCCACAGUGACCUCACAAGGUCUAUGCAAUUAGGUUGUCCCUUUGAACCUAGAUCUUGGGACCUCUAGUCAACUAGGUAGGGUUUUCCUUCAUAUAGCGCCUUUUAUUUUCAUAGGCUUUAGUCUCAUUCCUUUCGAUGUUUUAUCAACAUGAUCUCAUUUUAAGCCUUUAUUCAGCGGAUCCAUAAAGUUAUCUUUUGAUUUUACAAAAUCAAUAAAGAUAACUUCGUUUGAGAUCAGUUGUUUAAUGAUAUUGUUUCGACGACAUAUAUGUCUCGACUUAUCAUUAUACGUUACGUUAGCAAGACACCCUCCAUACUUUCAAGUGGUUGUAGGAUGGUUUGCUGCCUUUCCAUAAAUCAUAUGGUGUCUUGUCUAUUUUUCUUGUGGGGUACCUUAUUUAAAAGGUAAUUAACUCAUAAAAAUGCUCCCCCCACAUUUCCUGUGAUAACCUAGAGCUUUUUAGUAGUGUGUUCAUCUUUUCCCUUUAAAGUCUAUUUUUUUGCUCGGCUACCCUAGUUGAGGAAAGUAUGGUGGUGUUACUUCAUGAAUAAUGUCAUGUUGUGCACAGUAUUCACCAAAUGGUUCAACAUAUUCAUCACCACGAUCACUUCUCACCAUCUUAAUCUUUUUAUUAAGUUGGUUUUCAACUUCCCGCUUAUAGAGAGCCAAUUUCUCUAUAGCUUCGUCUGUACACAUAGCAAUAUUUUGUUUUAUCAUCAAUGAAGGUAAUAAAAUAUUUAUUCCCUCCUCUCAUUUGAACAAACUUUAAGUUGCAAACAUCGCUAUGUAUAAGAUCAAGUGGUUCCGUGCUUCUUUCAACAGUUUGAAAUGAAGACCUUGUUAAUUUUGUCUCAACACAAGUUUCACAUUUAUGUUUAUAAUUAAUGUGAAAUGAAGGAAUGUGCUCCAAAUUAAUUAAUCUACGUAAAAUAUCAUAAUUAACAUGUCUGAGCGUACCAUGCCAUAAACCAAAUGAAUCAAGCAUAUAAACAGAGGAAGAAGCGACAUUUUUAUUCAUUGUCUUUGCUUUUACAGAGAUUGCAUUAAGUUUCCACAUGUUAUUUAAUACAUAUCCCCUUCCCGCAUACAUUCCCCCUUUGACAAAACUAGCUUCUGGGAUUCAAACAUCAUCUUAAAGUUGUGUACAUUAAGGAGUGUACCAGAAAUAAGGUUGUUGCAUAUGUCAGGCACAUACAACACAUUUUGAAGCUUGAGUUCUUUGCUAGAAGUCAUCUUCAAGACCACAGUACCCUUCCCCUUGAUAUUGGAAGUUGCAGCAUUGCCCAUAUAGAGCUUCUCCCUAUUUUCACAAGGUUCCAACUCAGAAAAUGAGUCUUCGUCAUAGAAGAUAUGACGUGUGACACCUGUAUCAAGCCACCGUUCUCUUGCAUUUGAAUCAACCAUGUUGACUUCAGAAAUCACAGCACAUAAGUCCAUAUCUUCCACAGCAUUGAUGAGAGUUUCCAUUUUCUGUCAAGAAAUAGAAUCAGCUUUUGUUAGACGACAGGAAUCUAAUAAAACCCGAAACAAAAGUUUAUAUAGUCUAAUAUAAAAUACAAUAAAACAAUGCACCAGGUAAGUAACCCUAAAAGAGAGGUGGUGCACUCAGCACGCUUAAAUACAAAGUCCUUCAAAGAACCAAUCCUAGACAUGCAUUCUCAUACUGUCUUUUUAAUUCACCGUUGAUAAAUUUCCUUUUUAAUUCACAAUUUAAAGCCACAAUUAGGCCAAAAAAUAAACAAAAAAUUUCUUUUUUAUUUUGUUAAACGGCAAAAUUAAAAUUAUGAAACAAAAUCAAAAUCAAUUUUGUUAAACGACUGGACUAAAUCCUAACAAAAUUAUGUAAUUAAAUCAAAAUAAAUUCUGUUAAACGGUGGGAAUAAAUCUCGAAACAGUAUUAUUUGACUAAGUCUUCGUUUGGAAACAAAUUAAUAUAGAAUAAAAUCUUGUUAAACGGCGAGAAUAAAUCUCAGAACAGAUUUUAUUUAAUUUAAUUUAAUUCUAAUUUGGAAACAAAAUUAAAAUUGAAUAAAAUAUUUUUAAUCAGCGGGAAUAAAUCUCGAAAUAGAUUUUAUUUAAUUUUAAUUUCUCGUUUUUGGAAAUAAAAUAAAAAAGAAUAAAAUUCAUUGAACGACAGGAAUAAAUCUCGAAAUAGAUUUUAUUUUCAUUUAAAUACUCGUUUUGGAAAUAAAAUCAAAAUGGAAUAAAAUUCGUUAAACAGCAGGAAUAAAUUCCGAAACAGAUUUUAUUUAACUUUAAUUUAGAAACAAAAUUGAAUAAAAUUUGUUAAACAGUGAAAAUAAAUCCCGAAACAGAUUUUAUUUAGUUUUAAUAUUCGUUUGGAAAUAAAUAAAAAACAAAAUAGAGAAUAAAAUCUGUUGAACGGCCGGAAAAUAAAAUCAAGAAACAUAUUUUAUUUAAUUUAAAAAUUUAUUUUCUAAUAAAUUUUCUUUUCUUUUCUUUUCGCCUUGGUAUCUCAUUUAACUCGGAUUAGAGAAUUGCAAAAAUAAUCAAGUCUGUCUUAAAAUUGUUGGACAAAAUACGUUAGCGAACAAAAUAAUUAAAUAUAAAUAAACACAUAAAAGAUAGAAUAUAAAUAAAAUGAUUUAUAUUUAAUUUAUGAAAUACAAAAACCAAUUAAAACUGUAACAAAAGUUGAAAUCAAAAGAAAGAAUAGAGAUUUUACUAAACGUUGAGGCCUGUUAAAAACAGUUUUCUUAAGACAGAUUCGGCCGCUCCUACAGUACUUGGAGAAACGUUGAUCGAAUAUCUCCCAGGAUACAACAACAAAAAUGAUCAAAGCAAUAGCACCUCUGCAAUGAUUAACAAACGAACAUUGCCUUUUUCUAUCACCAGAACGUUUGAAAAAUUAGGAGAAUAAAAGAAGAGUUUUGAGAGCAACAGAAAAUCGGUGUGAGAGUGUGGAAAAUAAGCAAAGAAAUCUUAGCCUUUUAAAGGCAUUUAGGAUAGUGGAAAUUUUGGAAAUAUCUACAAAAUCUACCACUAAAGGAGCCUACAAAUCAAAUUGAUUGGAAUCAAAUAAAUAAGAGAGUUCUUAUAUAAAAAGAUUAUCUCUGCUGCCUAUUUUGGGCCCGAUCAAAGGACAACAAUUGAGACAACUUCCUAACUGUAAAUUCCCCGGUACUGUUGUGAAUCCAAAUUAUACGAUCCUCCACUUUCGAAUCAAGCUCGACACUCCCCACCAAAUUCUUCAAAUUAUUCAACAUACUCACCUCCCUAUCCAGCAACACCCUUGAGAAAACGUCCCUUCAGGGCACCUCUUCAAAGCCAUUAUUCCUUGCUACAUCUUUGACCACAAUAUUCUUCACAGUAGAAAGUCUAAACAAUCUAGGGAAUUCCACCUUCAAUGGACGAAUUCCACACCAAAUAUCCUCCCAAAAGAGGACAGAUUUCCCAUUCCCAAUCACCCAUCUAACAGAUUCCGACCCAAUCCAUUUUGACACUUCCUCUAACUUUGAAUUUUCCACAAUACCACACCAAACUACUGACAUUUCUUUUGGUUUGGAAGUCUUAAAUCUCCAAUGUUGCAAAUGCGCGUCAUACUUCUUUGGGGAAAGUGGGAGGGAGUAAAAGUAAUGGGGAAAAGUAAAAAAAUUUGGAGGUUUGAGGUAAAAAUGUAAAAUAUUAUAGUUUUAUAUUCAAUUUAUUCGAAUUAUUUGAAUCAUUCAAAUUCGAAAAUUAAACUCCAUUGAACUCGAAAUUUGAAAAGAAAAAGUUUGAGUUGACUCGAUUAACUCGAAUAACUCAAUUCGUUUAACUCAAAAUUUAAAUUUUUUUAAAAUUUUUCGAAUCGAAUCGAGUUUUGUUCACCCUUACAUAAUAUUAUUUGUAAUGAUCAAAAUUGUUUGUGUACACAAAUUUGAAAUUGACUACUAAUCCUUUGGGAUUGGCUAUGAAUUUGAGGUUUUAAUCGGCAAUUAAUUUAAUAAAGAAUUCAAAACUUAUCUCAAUAGACUUUAAGUCUUAAUGAUUAGUGGGUGUUUUUAUCUUAAUUUUAGUAUUUAUAACUCAUGUUAUUUUUAUAUUGAAAAUAUAUAAAAUAGCAAAAUUUUCACAACCAAAAGCUUGAAAAGAACUUUAUUGAAUUAUUAAGGCGAUAAGUAGAAAGACAAUCGAUUUGUACUUUCUUUAACUAAAUAUCCAUCCCUUAAACAACAAGCUUAAUAUAAUUUCAAAGUGUGACUGGCUCAAUCAACAAUGAAGUGAUUACAUCUUUGAUCGCUUUUCUAACAUAUGUAUAGCCAUCUCCUUCCUUGUAAAGCACAUCCAUUACCCUUGAAAGGUUUAGGGUACGAUUCAUAACCUCUGUUGGCAUUUUUGUUGGUUUCAGAAGCUAUUGAUUCAUAUCUUUCCAAGCACUCUCAAUAUAUUUGUUGAAUACAUCGUAUGUCUCCUGUGCUGUUACGUUAUAUUCUUUCAUGUAAUAGUCGAUUACUGACCAAUCGUCUUCUCUCCUAUGCUUGAACUGCAUUCGUAAUAAAAUCAAAAUUAUUCUAUCAUUAUAUACCCUAAAAUUUGUCAAUAUAUUAAACUUUAUUUGUAUAGUGAUGAUAAAAUACCUUUAUUGACAAUACUUCCUCACUAGUAACCCUAAAAUAAAACUAGGUUUUCUUUCUUAUUCGACUAAAAAUGACAUAAACAUCAAAAUUCAUUUGUUUCAUAUCAUGAUAAAAACCAUAGUUUGAUUUCAUUAAAAAGAUAUUUAAUUAUUGAGUUAAGAGUUCGAUUUCUUGUGAUUAUAUAAAUAUAUUAUUAUACCUUGUGUUCAGCAAUAUCAUCCAUAAACCUACAAAUAAUUGCGGAAGCUUGAAUGAUCUUAGGUUCACUGGCUGCCCAUUUAAACGUCUCUGGUGUUACGAUAUCUCCCAUACCGACGAAAGAUGUAAUAGCAAGCAUGGCAUAACCAGUAGAUGACAAUGCAUUAAUCUUAAAUUCCUCGAAUGAUGGUUUGUAGUUUUGAAGAGCCCAUUUGGCCUCCACAAAGUAGGAUUGAGCAAGUCGUAUCAGCUGAGGCAACAAAAUCCCAACAAUUAUCACUAAUAUCAAAUCAAAUUCUAUAAUAAUAUUUAAAUGACUAUAUAUUGUUAUUCAAGUUAAUUGUUUUUUCAGAUCUAGAAUUUAGCUAAUAUCUUAUCUCGUUUGUACCAAAUAAAUGUUUGUCGGUAUACAUACUGCAUUUUUCGCAUAUUCGACACGAUAUUGUCUCCUGUGCUCAGCCACUAGUUGUUUCAUUUCUUCAUAAACAUCUAAUAGUGCCUUGUAGCUCAAUUUCAUAUAUUCUGGAAGUUGGUCUAUGCAUUUAAUUUCCCACAUAAAUCCAACUUCAUUGUUAUAUUCGAUCAUUUGACAUAAUAUAUUUGAAUGUUAAUCUCCAAUUAAAGAAAUCUAACCUAUUAAACAAAUUAAAAACAUACCUCUCAAUAGCACUUGUAUAGGGAAUGAGCUCAUCAUAUGUUGCAUAUGAGUCAUAUGUAUCAUCUAUAACAGAUAUCAUUAUUAUCACUUUUGCCAUCAUCUUUCUACCAAGUGAAUAGUGGGCCUCAAAGUACACUCCCAAGAUCCAAAAAUAACAUUCAACGACUCUAUCUUUUGUAUAUCGCAACUUUAUUUGAAAGUCUUAAUCAUUCCGCAACCUAAAAAAUGAAUCUUUAAAGGUUUAAUUAGUUUCACAUUCUUGUUGCGGAUGAGUAAAUGGUUAGAUUCUUGACUUAGGCUAAAUCUUUGAAGGGGGAGGGGAGAGCUCUCAGUUUUUCUUUUUCUGAAACUAAGGGCUAAAUGAUUUUUUUUUGUUUAAAAUUUGACUUUUAUAGGCCCCCAAAACGACGUCGUCUUGGGCAGGCCUCUCAGGCACCAAAACGGCGCCGUUUUGGCCAUGAAAUUGUUAUUCGACCUGCUCCAACCUUAGGAUCAACGUGUUUUUGUGGAAGGGUCUAUUUGCGCUUCUGGCCCUUCCACCCUUUUUAUUAUUUACAAUCAAGUUUUUUUAUUUUUUUUAUUUUGCCCUAUAAUUUAUUCUGGCUUCAACUUUAGUCCCUGAUGGAACUGUGCGUUUUGGAGUGUGGGAAUUAUUUCUCAUUCAAUCCCUCUAUCUUAUCCACGCGUUCAAUCUAGUCCUCUCUUUUGCGGUUAUUUCUAAUUUGCCCCAAAACUUUGUUCUAAAGCUCAAUUUGAUCCUAUUUUGUUAUUUUGGCUGUUCUAUUAUUAAAUUAAUUAAUUUAAAAUUAUUAUUGCUAUUAUUAUUUUACCUUAUUUAUAUACUUAUUAUUACUAUAGCUAUAUCAUUAUAUCAAUUAGUUUUUAUAUUAUUAUUUCCAUUUUUUUUUAUUUACUAACAUAAACACUUUAAAUGCAUUUAUUUUAUUUUAUCUACUUUUUUCUUUUUCCUCUUCAAAACUUUAGACUAUUUAUCAUCGUUAAUAUUAUUAUUUUUAUUACUAUAACCCUAAUUCCAACCCUUUUUUAAUGAUCAUUUCAAUAUUUCCUAGAUUAAUCUCUUUAAUGUUAUUUUGUGUAUUUAUUUAUUAAUUUCUUUUAAUUUUGAUAUCGUCGUGUUAUGUUUUUUUAUAUUAUUGUUUAUACCGUUAUUAUUCAUUAUUAUUGAUGAUUUUAUUGUUUCUUUGAUUAAUUAAUAUUAAAGUGACUGUCGAAACCAUUUUUUUACCGUGAAAAUGGGAUCGACUUGGAUUUUGAAAACGAAAACGAACAGGGGAGUCGCCACCAAUCUUUUUUGAUGAGGUGCGAUCGGGCCACCUCGAAAAAUGAUUGUUUUUAAUAAACGAUUUAAUUUUAUCAAAACAGCGGUUUUGGUCUACGAAAAUCAGAAAACGGGUCUGGGUGUCGGUUACAUACGAGGAAGGAUUAGCACCCUCGUAACGCCCAAAAUUGGUACCUAGCUGAUUAAUUAGUGUCUUAGUGUCGAAGAUUGAAAAUUUUGAAGAGUUUUUUAAAAAUAUGAUCCGUUCUACAAAACAUUGAGAAUUUUUGAGACAAAGACAUAUUUUCACGUUAAUCGAGAAAGAAAAUUACUUCCCGUAAGUUAGGAUGCAAUGCCUAAAAUUCCCGAUACAAGAAUGAAUACCGAAAAAUUUAUUUAAAAAGAUAUUCAAUUAUCUCGGGUUUAGAAAAGAAAUCAUGUCCUGUAAGUUAGAACCUGAUCUUUUGUUAAAUCCUAAGAUCAUAAAAAUUUACUUGAAAAGAUUCGUAUAUUUAGAUUUAUUGGGAAAAUCAAAAUCUCGUAAGUUAGGAUACGACUUUUCCAAAUCUCAAAAUACGAAAUGCUAUUUGUUUGAAACAAAUGUUGAUGUAUCGAGCGAAAUAAAGCACGAAGUCGUAAAAAAUGCGAAAAUAGAUUAUAUCGUUGGCAUGCAAGACAAGCAAUGAUAAAUACGAUGAUGCAAACGUGAAUAGCAUGAGCAACAACCAAUAAAAGAUAAAUAAAAGACGAAUCAAUCAUGCAAGAUAAUAAGUAGAUAAACUAUUCGAAUAAGAUGGGCAUAAAAUAAGAAAGUAAACACCGCGAGAAACAACGAAACCGUAAUGGAAAUAAAUAAAAAAUGUACAAUAUAAAAAAAUAAAUAUAUGUAUGUAUGUCUACGUAAAAUUAUAAAAAUAAGAAGAAUAUAUAUAUGUAUACGUUUAAAAUAUAAAAAUGUAGGUAAGUAUGUAUAUAUAUAUGUUUACGAAUUAAAAUAUGCAUUUAUAUUGUCGAACCAAUUUUUUUGAUAAAAUAAAAAAAAUUAGUUGUCGACUUAAAAAUGAAAUUGGAGUUACAACCGAUCCUUUAUUGAAGUGUGAUCGGCUCACCUUAAAAAUGAUCUUGGUCUACGAAAUUUGAAAAAACGAGUUCGGGAGUCUGUUACGCACAAGGAAGGGUUAGCACCCUCGUAACGCCUAAAAAUCGGUACCAAAUUGAUUAUUUUAAUGUCUUAGUGUCGAGGAUUAAAAAGAUUUAAAAAAAACUCAAAUGAUGAAAUCUGAAAAGGAUAAUCAAAUAUUUAAGUCAAACGAAGAAAUCGAGACUCAAUACGUUAGGGUACAAUUUCUCAAAAUCCCCAAACUUUGAAUAUCGCUUUUACUUUAUAGGAAAACCUUCAUUUCGAGAAAGCAAUAUGUCAUGCCCAAUACAUUAGGACACAACAAGUUAAGUUCCCGGAAAUGAUUUUUAUACUUAUGCAUUUUGAAUAAAGCAUAUACUCGGUUAUUUAGGAUUAAUAAAGAAAAUCAGAACCCAAUACGUUAUGGCUCAAUUUCUUUGAAAAUCCCGAAUAUUGAAUAUUGCAUUAUUUUAAAAGCCUUUGAAUCAAAAGAAAAUGAUUUUAAUGUUUUGACGAAACCAAAAUAUAUAUUUUUAAAAGGUAUGUUAAAAAGUUAAUGUUCAAUAUAAAACAAAUACUUUAAUUUAAAUUAUGCAUGUAUAUGUAUUUACAAAAAAUAUAUAUAAGGAUGAUAUAUAAGUGAAUUUUGAAAAUAUGUGUAUGCAUAUAUUAAAACUUGCAUAUAUAAGUAUACAUAUAUAAAAACAUGAAAUACACCAAACAAAAAAAAUAAAAAAAAACUUAUAAUAAUUCUACAAAAAAGGUAUGCAUACAUAUAUUAUAGAAAAUGCAUAUAUAUGUGCAUAGAUUAUGGAAUAUAAAAGAUGCAUACGUGUUAUAAAAUGUUAAUGUGUAUAUAUAUACAAAAGUCAUGAAAAUAAAACAAUAAUAAAAUAUAUAUAUAAAAUAUAUACAUGAGUUUACCCAAAAAAAAUGUAUAAGUGUAAUAUGUCAGUAAAUUAUAAAAUGCGGAAAAUAUAUUUAUAAUAGUUUUGAAUAGUGUAUGAAUAUAUAUAUACACAUAUUAUAAAACAAUGUAUAAACAUAUUGUACAAGCCCAUUUUUUUGCCCGGGACCAUCACCAAAAUUAAAUAACCCAAUACCAAAAAACACUAAACCAGCAAACAAACCCAAACAGACCCAAAUCAAAACAGCCCAAAAAAACAAAAAAUUAAAAGCCCAAUUAGCCCAAAACCCCUAAAACGUUUCAGCAAGCCCUAGCGCUGCAGCCCUCUUCCCCUAGCUCUGCUGGCCGCCGCACACGUCCCUUCAGCCACCUGCCCUCUGACGCCGCACCUACUCCUGUAAAAACAGAAGCAAAAAGAUAGAAGCAAAAAACAGAGGACAAUAGCAAAAAUGGCAUUUUUAUUUUUCUUUCGGCUAUAAAGCCGAUUGGAAAACAACAAAAUGGGGGGCUUCAUCACUGUAAUCAGGGGGAUUUUUCUUUUAUUUUUUCUUUUCGGCAAAAGCCGAGUUUGCUGUAAAAGAAGAAGAGUUUUCUCUUCUUUCGGUUUGCUAUGAACAUUAAGAUAAAUAAGAAAACCAAAACAGAUUUUUGAAGGUGACUUUUUCUUUUUUACGUUUCUUCCUUGUUUUAUUUUAUUUUUUUAUUUUAUCUUUUACAUAAGAAAUACGAAAUAAAAAGGUGGCAAAGAAAGCUUACCUGCGCCGCGCCGGAGAAAGGGGGAAAGCGAACGGUUUUCUCCUUUUCCUUCUGGUUUUGGCCCAUUUUUAACGAACCCAACCUCGAAUCUGGGUUCCCAGGAAUGAUCGGCUUCAAAUAGGGCUAAAAAGGCCCAUUCUUGCACCUCCGGCCGCCGUUUACGGCGGAGCCACGGCGGAGGUGAACCGGACCAGUGGCUGGAUUUUGGGGAAGAAGAUGAGAGGAGAGUUUUGAAUUUUUUUUAAAGAAUGGGGGCUGAAUGAAAAUUUUUCAGAAAAUUUGGGCUUAAAUACUGAUAUAAAACGGCACCGUUUUGAUAGGGUUAGGACAGCCCCAAAACGACGUCGUUUUGGGCUCCUGACCCGAGACCCGACCCAUCUGCCUUAGGGGAUCCGCGUGUUUUAACGGAAGGGCUAAUUACGCAUUUAGCCCUUCCGCUUUUUAAUGCUUUUAAAAUUAGGUUCUUUUAAUCUUUUGAAUUUUACCCGGAAUUUUAUUGCGUUUUCAAUGUAGUCCCUUCUGAAACUACGUCGUUUUAAAGGCGAAGGACAAAUUUCCUUUUUAGUCCCUCCAUGUCUCGCGCGUGUUUAGAAUUAUCCCUCCCUUUUUAUUUAUUUAUGAUUUGACCCCGAAUUUUAUUAAAUUUUUAACUUAGUCCUUUUGUUAUUUUGUUUAUUUUCUUAAUAUUAUAUUAUUAUUUCCUCAUUUAUAUAUAUAUACAUACUUAUAUAUAUUUUAUAUUUUAUAAUUUUUAUAUAUAUAUUUAUAUACAUAUACAUGUAUAUACAUACUAACAUAAACUUUCAUAUUUAAUAAUUUUGAAAUACAUAUAUACAUAUAUUUUUCAUAUUUUUAUAAAUUUAUGUGCAUACACACUUUUUUUUUAUAACGUAUAUACUUAUAUUAUAUAUAUACAUAUUAUUUUAUAAUCUAUAUACCUAUAAAUGUAAAUGUUUAUGCUUUUAUUUUUUAUAAUCCAUAUACAUAUCUUUUAUUUAUUUAUUUGUAUGUCUGUUAUUAUUAUUUAUUAUGCUUUAGAAUUUUUAUUUGCUUAUUACUCGUUAUUGUACAUACGACAUUAAUUUUAUUUAUAUACAUGUGGCUUCUUAUUUAUUCAUCUUUUAUUUUUGCUUGUAUUAUUUUUUACUUACAUCAUUAUCAUUGUUAUUCCAUUACACCCAUUUUUAUUUAGAUUUCAAGAAAGAAAUUUUAAAAAUAUAAGUAAUACUCGGUAUUUGGGAUCUUCAAGAGAAUCGAGCCCUAACGUAUUGGGUUCUGACUUUCUUCGUUGAACUUAAAUAAUCGAGAUUACUCUUUUAAAAAUGAUAAAAAGCUCGUUAUCGAGAAUUCAAUACGUUGUGUCCUAACGCAUUGGAUGUGACACGUUGUUUUCUCGAGACGAGGAUUUUUCGAAAUAAAUGCAAUAUUCAAUGUUUAAUAUUUUGAGAAAUUGUGCCCUAACGUAUUGGGUUGCGAUUUCUUCAUUUGAUUUAAACAAUUGAAUAUUCUUUUAAACUUUAUUACACGAAUCUUUUCAAACUCAAGUUUUAAACGAUAUCGAGAAUUAAAAAAUGAUCGUGUCCUAACUUACUGGUCGUGAUCCCUUUUUUAAUCCAAGAUAGUUAAAAUAUCUUUUAAAUAAGCAUUUUUCAUUCGCGUAUCGGGAAUUCGAGACAUUAUGUCCUAACUUACUGGAUAUGAUUCUCUUUCUCGAAUAACAUGAAAUAUGCCCCUUUUUUUGAAAAUUUUUAACGUUUUAAUACAAGGAUCGUAUUUUUUUAAAAUUCUUCAAAGUUCUCAAUUUUCGAUAUUAAGACAUUAACUAAUCAACUAGGUACCAAUUUUGGGCGUAUCGAGGGUGCUAAUCCUUCCCCGUGCGUAACCGACUCCCGAACCCGUUUUUCUGAAUUUCGUGGACCAAACUUGUUGUUUUAAUAAAAUCAAACCGUUUAUUAAAAACAAUAACUUUUCGAGGUGAUCCAAUCAUACCUCAUAAAAAAGGAUUGGUGGCGACUCCCGUUUCAUUUUUCAAAACCCAAGUCGACCCCGUUGUCAAAAAAAUGGUGUCAACACAUAUAUAUAUAGAUUAUAAAAUAUGGACAAUGUAUAAAUAUUAUAAAAUAUAACUGUAUAUACAUAUAUAUAAAAACUAUGAAAAUAAAAUAAUAAAAUAAUAAUAAAAUAUGUAUAUGUAUUUAAAAACAUUUAAAAUAUAUACAUAUAUAUAUUAUAAAACACAUAUGCGUGUAUAUAUGUAAGUAUAAUAAUAAUAAUAAUAAUAAUAACAAAAUUAAUAAAAUAAACUAAAAAAAAACCUAAAAUGAAAGAUUAAGUAUUAAAUUGAAAAAAAACUGAAGUUUCAGGGGAAAAUCUGAAAUAAAUAAAACACCAGUGGAUCAAAUAGAACAUGCAGUAAAUGGUGGAGGACCAAAAGUGAAGUAAAUCCCGCCCUCUAAUACGCUGCGCAGCAACCCGGAUUUAAUUGAAACAAAAAUAAAAUAAGUUGCAAAAUUUAAAAUAAAUAAAAAACAAUUUAAAAACACCAUAAAAUAAUAAGGACUAAUUGGAAAAUAGUCCAUUGAAAAUAAAAUGCGGAUCUUAUGAAAGUAGGUCAAGUCACACUCGGGUAUAGGCAAAAUGGCGCCGUUUUGGGGCCACUGAAAGAGGCCCCAAACAACGUCGUUUUAAGCCCUAUAAAUUCCAAUUUUAAAAAAACCCUAAAUCAUUUUCCCCCCUCUGCCAUUUGAAGUUGCGCCGUGGCCUUUCCUCUCUGCCAUUUCAGACCCCUCUCGCUCCGAUGACGACGAAACGAAGAGGUCCUCCAGCCACACUCACAAUGGUAAGUUCUCUUUUCCCUUUCCUUUCCGUUUUAUGCACAAAGCAAUAAAUCAAAAAAGAAAAAAUGAAACAAAACUAAAUUAAAGAUCACCUUCUGCCAAAACUUUUCCUUUUUCUUCUAUUUCUUUUCAAAAAAUGUUUUUUUUCCUUCAAUCGUUGUAAACCUUUUACAAAAACCGAUUGGCCCUUUUUUAGCCGAAUCCUUACAACUCAAAUAAUAAUAAUUUUUUAAAUAUUUUCUCCCUCUUUCGUUUUGCUUGCUGUUCGUGGUUUACUUGUUGCAGGUACGUGCGCGUGUGGGGGUUGCUGCUACGUGGGGCGUGCACGGCGCUGGAGGUUGCUGCGACGUGGGGUGGCUGCUGCUAACUGCUGCUUAGGGUUAGGCUAGGGUUAGAUUUGGGUUUGGGGUAGUGACUUGGGCCUUAUUGGGCCAAACGUAAUUUGGUCAGAUUAGUUAAUUUGGGCCCCGGGCAACAAUUGGGUAUUACAUAUAUAUGUACACAUAUGUAUAUAAAAAUUAUGAAAUGUAUAAAAAUAUGAGUGUAUGUACGUAUAUUUUUAUAAUAAUAUUCAUAAAAGUAUAAAUAUAUAUAUACUUAUCAUAAACAAAAACGUAUUUUGAAAUUAAUUAUAAAAUAUGUAAAACAUAUUUAAUGUAAAAUGUACACACAUUUGUAUAUUAAGAUAUAUGUAUAUGUAUUUACAAAAUAAAAAAUGUAUAGGUAUGAUAUAUAUAAGUAAAUUAUGAAAAUAUGUAUAUGUAUGUAUAAAAUAAAUGAAAUAUGCAAAAAAUAUAUUUAUAAUAAUUUAAAAAAGUGUACGUAUAUAUGUAUAUUACAAAGAAUGUAUGUAUAUAUAUGUAUGAAUUAUAAAAUGCCUAUGCAAAUAUAUAUAUUAGAAAUACGUACGCAUAAGUACAUACAAUACUAAUACUAUUGUAUAACAAUAAUAACAAUAUUAAAAUAAUUAAUUUGGAAAUAAAAUAACUAAUGAAGGAUUAAAUUGAAACCCAAGUAAAAUUUGAGGACCGAAAUCAAAGUAAAAAAGAUGAGAGAAACACAUAAAAGGGUUAAGUCAGGGCAUGUGUGAAAGGAGGGGGCCUGAUUGGGAAAAUAUCCCCAGCCUCAUGCGCGUCGUUUCACAUAGGACUAAAGUGAAACAUACGAAAAAAAAAUGCGGCCGAACAAAAAAAAACGGGACCAGAUUGCACUAGGGCGCAAAAGAGGAGGGUCCACGCCUGCAAAUAUCCCACCCAAAUAGAUGCACGCUGAUCCUCCCACUGGGUCAGGUCACCGCGCAGGUCAAAGGACUAAACAACGCCGUUUUGGCGCUGGUACCUUUUCCAUAAAACGUCAUCGUAUUGCGUUAUUAUUUAAACAAAAAUUUCUUUAAAAAAAAAACAUAAGCCAUAUGCCCUCAAAACAAAAGAAUUGUUGCUUCUUUUUCUCUGCUAGGGUUUUUAACCCAACCUCUGCCGCCGUGCCUCCAUCACAAUUCCACCGUGAACAGUGGUUGGAGCCGCACCACAAAAGGCUUUUUGGUUCCCUCUCGUGCGGAUCUUCAAGGCGUCGCAAGGUAAGCCUUCUUUUUUACUCCUUUAUUUACUAUAUUUUUUUUGAAUGUAAACAAAGAGAAAAAGAAAAACGAAAAUCUACCUUCAAUCUAUCUUUUUUGUAUUCUGAAAUCUCUAUUUCAAAUAUUUUUCUGUUUUUCUAUUUGAUUCGUGAAAAAUAAAACCCUUUACAAAUGCUACAAUCGGCUUUAUAUAGUUGAAUAUUACAGAAAUUAUUUAUUUUUCUUUUAUAUUUUUGCUAUUUUCUCUCUUAUGCUAGUGUUGUUCGUGGUUUGUUACAGGUGCACUGGAGGAGAACGUGCAUUGUGCAGGGGCGACGUGCUGCGACGUUGGUGAGGUUGCUGUGGCGCUGGUUUGCUGCUAACUGCUUAGGGUUCUAUGUCUUAGGAUAAUUUGGGCUGUUGGUAUUGGGCUGAAGUCUGUAUUGGGGUUGGGGUAAAUUUUGUUGUAAUCUAGACAUGGACCUAAUUUCAUUUGAUUUAUUAUUUUGGAUUUAUUUCUUACACGGGCCGUGCAAAUUGGCCUAUUACAAUGCAUAUUAUGUGAUCAUUGUUAUUUUACAUUCGUAUUCUCGUUAUUCGUCGUUUUAAUAUUUUGCUUGUGUAACAUUUCAAGUAUCGCAUUAAUUUUGACCCAAAUGCAUAUUUUUAUAAAAUAAAAAUACUUCGUAUUUUGGAAUUCAAAAAGAUCGUAUCCUAACUUACGGGGUCUCGUUUUUUUUAUAAUUCCAAAUAUACGAUCCAUUUUUUAAAAAAAACAUGUUUUUUAAAAAAUUGUCUUGGGAAUCAAAAAAGGACCGUUUUCCAACUUACGGGAUAUGAUUUCUUCUCCAAAACCGAGAUGAUCAAAAUUUCUAAAAAUAAAUAAUUUUUUGGUGUUUAUUCUCGUGUUGAGAUAAGAGAUAUUGUGUCCUAACUCACGGGAUAUAAUUUUUUUUCUCGAUUAAUGUGAAAUACACCCUUCUUUUUUUAAUAAAAGGCUCAUAUUUUUAAAUUUCUUUUCGAAUUUUUAAUAUGAAUGUCAUGUUUCAAAAACAGUACGACUAUCAAAAUAUGUAUUUUUUCACAUCACUUUAAAAUAUGUUAAAGUCAUCACAUUUUUACAUUUAACUUCACCAUCAUUUAUAAUUUUAUAUAUUUAUUUCGAAAUUUAAUGUAAAUAACUAAAUUGCUAAUUUUAAUGAUAGAAAAUUUAAUUUGCCCCUAAAAAGGAAUCAUUCAGCGUAAUGAAUUGCCUUAUGCUUAUAAACAAAAGAGAUACUUGAAUAGAAUUUUACUCAAAAUGGGCCCGAGCCUAAAAAUGGGCCUAAAAUUUUACUAAAGCCCAGCCCGGCUGUAUUAAUUUUUAUAUGAUUUUUAUAUAAUUUUUAAUUAUAUAUAAUACAUCAAAUAUAAAUAUUCCCCAAAAAAUUGAAAAUAAAUUUUAAAAAUUAUGUAUACUUAAAUAACACUAAGAUAGAUGCAACGUAACAAGCAAAUGUCUCUAAAAUAAUAACAAAAUUAACAAUAAAACAAGUUUUAUACAAUAUUCAAACAAUAACAACAAAAUAGUAGCAACGUAAUAGUAAUAUAGUAGCAAAAUAGGGAGAAAAAAAACAAGAAAAUAGCAUUAAAAAAUAAAAAGUUGAAAUCAAAAGGAAGAAUAGAGAUUUUACUAAACGUUAAGGCCUAUUAAAAAUAGUUUCCGUAAGACAGAUUCGGCCACUCCUACGGUACUUGGAGAAAUGUUGGUCGAAUAUCUCCCAAGAUACAACAACAACAAUGAUCAAAGCAGUAGCACCUCUGCAGCGAUCAACAAACGAGCAUGGUCUUUUUCUAUCACCGGAACGUUUGAAAAAUUCAGAGAAUAAAAGAAGAGUUUUGAGAGCAACAGAAAAUCAGUGUGAGAGUGUGGAAAAUAAGCAAAGAAAUCUUAGCCUUUUAUAGGCAUUUAGGAUGGUGGAAAUUUUGGAAAUAUCCACAAAAUUUGCCAUUAAAGGAGCCAACAAAUCAAAUUGAUUGAAAUCAAAUAAAUAAGAUAAAUGUCCUUCAAAGAUUAUCUCUGCUGCACCUUUUGGGCCCGAUUGGUCCUGACAAUUUUCGUCGCCUACAUCGUGUAGGUGCGCCCCAACCAUGUCAAGUUUGGACCUGCACCCACCCUACGUGCGAGACAAGGUUCCAAGCUUAGUUAUUCAAUCAUUUUUGAAGAAGGUUCCCAUAUAUAAACACAUCUCACACUUGGUAUUUAACCAAUGUGAGAUCUAAGCCUUUAUUUUUUUUCUCAACAAAUAUUUCCAAGCAGCUUAUGUUGAGCAUCGGUUUCUCAUUCAUUACUCAACCAUUUUGAGCAUAUGAUAUACCGUUGUAAAGGUCUCAUGGAGUAGAAUAUGAAACCAUAAUUUUAUGAUUCAACUCUCCACCUUCACCUGUUAAGAAUAUGCCUCAAAGUUAUACGAUCAAAGGACAACAAUUGAGACAACUUCCUAACUGUAAAUUCCCCGGCACUGUUGUGAAUCCAAAUUAUACGAUCCUCCACUUUCGGAUCAAGUUCGACACUCCCCACCAGAUUCUUCAAAUUAUUCAACAUACUUACCUCCCUAUCUAGCAACACCCUUGAGAAAACAUCCCUUCAGGGCACCUCUUCAAAGCCAUUAUUCCUUGCUACAUCUUUGACCACAAUAUUCUUCACAGUAGCAAGCCUGAACAAUCUAGGGAAUUCCACCUUCAAUGGACGAAUAUCACACCAAAUAUCCUCCCAAAAGAGGACAGAUUUCCCAUUCCCAAUCACCCAUCUAACAGAUUCCGACCCAAUCCAUUUUGACACUUCCUCUAAUUUUGAAUUUUCCACAAUACCACACCAAACUACCAACAUUGAUUUUGGUUUGGAAGUCUUAAAUCUCCAAUGUUGCAAAUGCGCAUCAUACUUCUUUGGGGGGAAAAUGGGAGGGAGUAAAAGUAAUGGGGAAAAGUAAAAAAUUUUGGGGGUUUGAGAUAAAUAUGUAAAAUAUUAUAGUUUUAUAUUCAGUUUAUUCGAAUUAUUUGAGUUAUUCAAAUUCGAAAAUUAAACUCCAUUGAACUCAAAAUUUGAAAAAAAAAAGUUUGAGUUGACUCGAUUAACUCAAAUAACUCAAUUCGUUUAACUCGAAAUUCAAAUUUUUUUUAAUUUUUUUCGAAUCGAAUCGAGUUUUGUUCACCCCUACAUAAUAUUAUUUGUAAUGAUCAAAUUUUGAUUAUUUCAUUACAAAAUAUAUUAUCUUUUUAUAAAAUUUAUUACAUGUGAUGUAAUAAAUUUGAUUGUAUAACAUAAAUUGUUUGUGUACACAAAUUUGAAAUUGACUACUAAUCCUUUGGGAUUGGCUAUAAAUUUGAGGUUUUAAUCGACAAUGAAUUUAAUAAAGAAUUCAAAGCUUAUCUCAAUAGACUUUAAGUCUUAAUUUUAGUAUUUAUAACUCAUGCUAUUUUUAUAUUGAAAAUAUAUAAAAUAGCAAAAUUUUCACAACCAAAAGCUUGAAAAUAACUUUAUUGAAUUAUUAAGGCAAUAAGUAGAAAGACAAUCGAUUUGUACUUUCUUUUAUUGUAUAAAUAGUAUAAGACAUUAUAGUUAAAACUUAAUAUCCAUCCUUUAAACAACAAGCUUAAUAUAAUUUCAAAGUGUGACUGGCUCAAUCAACAAUGAAGUGACUACAUCUUUGAUCGCUUUUCUAACAUAUGUAUAGCCAUCUCCUUCCUUGUAAAGCACAUCCAUUACCCUUGAAAGGUUUAGGCUACGAUUCAUAACCUCUGUCGGCAUUUCUGUUGGUUUCAGAAGCUCUUGAUUCGUAUCUUUCCAAGCACUCUCAAUAUAUUUGUUGAAUACAUCGUAUGUCUCCUGUGCUGUUACGUUAUAUUCUUUCAUGUAAUAGUCGAUUACUGACCAAUCGUCUUCUCUCCUCUGCUUGAACUGCAUUCGUAAUAAAAUUAAAAUUAUUCUAUCAUUAUAUACCCUAAAAUUUGUCAAUAUAUUAAACUUUAUUUGUAUAGUGAUGAUAAAAUACCUUUAUUGACAAUACUUCCUCACUAGUAACCCUAAAAUAAAACUAGGUUUUCUUUCUUAUUCGACUAAAAAUGACAUAUAAAUAUUAAACUUCAUUUGUUUCAUAUCAUGAUAAAAACCAUAGUUUGAUUUCAUUAAAAAGAUAUUUAAUUAUUGAGUUAAGAGUUCGAUUUCUUGUGAUUAUAUAAAUAUAUUAUUAUACCUUGUAUUCAGCAAUAUCAUCCAAACCUACAAAUAAUUGUGGAAGCUUGAAUGAUCUUAGGUUCACUGGCUGCCCAUUUAAAGGUCUCUGGUGUUACGAUAUCUCCC